CCCCCACCCAUCUCUCUCUUACUGUCGUGUUAUAACUUCUGUCUAAUCACCUCCUUCCCCCUUCGCUUUUCUCCUACUCUCUCUCUUUCUCCCGAUCUCACUCGCGCACCACCAUUUCUCUUCCCCCAUCUCCGUCUGAUCAAUUGCGUAAUCUGUAAUUGUAUCAAGUUGGCCGCUGUUUUCAACCUGCUACGUUCGUAGCUGCAUUUUCGAUGAAAAAUUUUUUUCCCCUUUCACACACAACCUGUCCUUCGCAUCAGUUUUAAUUAUUUUAUUUUUUAAAAUUUUAUUUACACGUAAGUUAAAAAAACAACUAAACAAACAAACGUAGAAAAGAAACUAUUACACAUGCCUCAACACAUGUUCUUUUUACUACACCAAUUAUAAAUUUAUCACUUUUAAGUUCGAUUGUAAUUCCGUUCGAUCUUGUUUCCUGUUUCUAACCAGUUUUAAUUUGGCAUUACUGUUUUGUUCGGACAACCAGUCCCCCUUUUCUUGCACACAGUAAAAAAAAAUUAAGAAACAGAACAGAUAUAACAAGUGUUAAAAGUUAAAACUCGGAAUAACCAUUUUUUUUAUUUACUUGUUUUCAAGUCGAUCUAUUUCUUACCUCUUUCUCUCUCUUUCACACACACACAAAAAAAAAAGUGAGGGGUUCCGGAGUGUCUAUUAUACAACGAAUAUCUGCUUGACUGAUUUAUUUUCUAUCGUUGUUAUCGUUGUUGCCUCUUCGUUGAUUGUUUUCUUUUCUAAAGAAGGUGGGGAAAAGUCUGGAAGAAGAAAAGGAACAAACAACUACAAGGCUACAUAAAGUUAAAAUAAUAACGAUGAUGUCACAUACACACGCGCACUGUGCUGCUAGAACAAUCGAUACCAAUAUGAUUUCUGUCCGCAGAUUUUGCAGCUGGUGGGUUAGUGGGAAAGAAAACAAAUUACUGGACAAAACGAACAAAAAAGAAAGAAAAAAAAAUGUUGUUGAAAACAUAAAGAAAGAAAAUAACUGGACAUAAAUUUUUGAAAAUUUUGCGAAAAAGCCAAAGUUGAAGUCUUUUGGAGAUUUUAAGUAAAUCUAGUUUUGCAAUAUGUCCAAAGAAAAUUUUAAAAAAAUUCUACUAUUUGGACUUCACAGGUCAGGUAAGCUGUGUUGUAAUUUGAAAAAAAGAAAGAAAAUCUGUGUGUUUGUAGUUGUUAGGGGUUUAUUAAAAUAAUUGUUCGUCAGCCUUAGAUACUUUUAACCUCCUCGUACUGCUUCGCUCUAUCUACCCCUAUCGUUUAAUCCAGGGGUGGGGUAUCUCUCGCUCGUGGGCACUAUUUUUGCCUUCAUUAUAAGUUGAAAUAGCCUCUUGUCAGUAUCUCUGAAACCCAUAAAAAAGGCGGUUUACGGGUGAAAAUUAAAAACAGUAAUUUAAUAUUUGUUACAUAACCUAUGAAUUUAUAAUAUUAAAUAUGCGCGCCGACAAGUUCUUAUGCACUUGCAGGUUCAUCUCCUGACACUGAGGUACCCCCACUCCCUAACGCAUCUAAUUCAGUGCAUCGUACUUUUUCUUUUUUCAUCCUCCCACCCCGCCUUGUGUCUUUGAGUUGGGGGCGGGAUAACAACCGUUUAAUGAGAGGAAAAGUGGUUCAUCUUUGUCGCUUAGAGUGAUUCUGUGUAAUGGUUCUGGCUGGCUUGGGUGUAGACACUUUUAUGUUGUGAGCGAAGAAAUCUUUUUCUCCCUUACCCCUCUUUCUCUUUCUAACACCUUUCUCAUCUUUUUCUCCUCCUUCUCUUUGUUCUUCCUUACCCGUGUUAGUGUGGCGAAGUAAAAAUAAAAACGUUACGUAAAAAGAGUGUGUGUGGAAAAAAGGAAAAGAAAACAAAAAACAACCCCACAACGCAGUACAAAAUAACUUCUCAAAACAGUUACAACUAUCACCAUAACUAGAGUUCUUCCGUUUUAACCACCUAGCGAGGUCAAACAAUUUAAUAAUGGACUCGUGCUUGGAUGUCAUUGCUUGUUUUUCGGUAAUUUCUUUGAUGACAAUUUUUUAAAAAAGUAGUUUGAAAUAAUAUUUAAAUAGUUGGAUUCUUCUUUUUUUUUUUUUUUGUAAUGUAGGUUUGUGUAUGUUAUGCUACUAAUAUCUGUUUAGUGUCUUUGGAAAAGACCGAAUGAAUGUCGCAACUUGGCUGCUUCCUUUUCGUCACAAAAACUCAUCAGUGGAAAAGUCUAUCGUUAUGCUGUAUGUGUGUGUGUGUGUGUGUGUGAGAUAGUGGUAUGGACUUUUUUGUCUUCAACGCCGAGAUUGCACUAUAAUCAAGUCUUUAUUUCGGUUUAAGAUGAAGCUGAAUAUUACACUACACGAAUUUGCUGCCCACUCUGACAACCAUACAAGACUGGAAGGUGGAGAAUGGAAAAAUUUUUGUUGCAUAAUGCAAAGCAACACUAACACUCAUUCACACAUUCGCACAAUAUUCAACACAUAAACACACUCCCACUAAUGCAAUUCUCCUAACACUAACGUACUCACCCACACACUGAUGCACUCACCCACACAAGCUCAUGAACGCGGGCACCCACAUAUUCUAACGCAUUCUCCCAUAUUAAUGUACGCGGGCACGCACCCACACUAUCGCAAGCACACUCAUACUCUAUCGCACUCUCCCACAUAUGUUAAUGCACGUGGGUACUCACAUACAUACUCAUUCCUUCACACACACAUGCAUUCAGCUCACCUCCUAACGCGAUUACCCACUCACAUUAAAUUGCUCACCCACGUACUCUAAUGCACUUACCCACACUCAAACGCACUUACACAUUCACUCAUACAUGUGUAACAUUCUUGCAUUCACUGUCACACUUGUACUCUUUCACAUACACUAAUAACACACUUAUAUUCGCUAACAUAUUAACACUCAAUCACUAACAGUCACUCAUAGUAACAUAAUGCCCUAACUCACCCAUAUUAGCUCAUUUGCAUUCAUUCAUUCUCUGACACUAGCAUGCAUUCAUGCACACUCUCUCAUAUAGAUAUGCUUUCACAAAUACUCAUAUACUUACUCUCUCACUCUCACACACACCUGCAAUUGGAAAUAUACUCAAUGAUACAUUCAUACAUGCUAGUAUAUUCACACACUAACUCAUUUACACUCAGUCACACACUUCUUCCUCUAUUUUACACAUAUCUCUUGCAUGUGUGUAGCCUCUCUAUUCUACUCCAAGCCAUUUUGAGUAGGACCAGAACAUGGAGGAUGGAAAGAAAAGGGAAGCCAAAAUGAAAAUCAGACGUUGGGAUGAAACCUCUCAAAGCUCUCAACUGAAAAGUUCAGUGCAUACCUUUCCAAAGUAUUAAAAUGAUAACUGAUAUUGUCUUUUAGAAUAAUUCUAUUGAAAGGAAGCUGAGAUCUGGUCAAAUUAAUCUUUUCAAUGUGGAGGUAUUUCAGAUCUGAAAUGUUGGUUUAUUAUGCAAUGAUAUUGAUUUUUGACAUAAGUACAAGGCCUCAGUUUUAUGAUAGGACAUAGUCGAUCAUAUUGCCAAGUUUCAAUUAGUACUUAUUUUUGUGCCCUUCCCGCUUGCUCCACAAAGGCAGGAUCCAACAUAAGGAGACAUACUGUACAAAUUCUGCCAAUCCACUGUCUUUCAUAGUGUGAUUGAAUGAGGUAGCAUAAACUUGCAAUUGAAAUCAUAUGGGAAUUAAGAUAAUUCUUGUCCUAAGUGCUUCCCUGUAUGAUGGAGGCAAUGCCAGAAGCAGAUUUCUUUGCAGCAAGCAUUAUUUUGAGUUAUGACUUGAAGAAAUCUAUAUUUUUGAGAGAGUGUUCCCUCUAUGUUGUAAAACAAUAUUAUGGCUGUCUCUAGAACAUUAUCACAAUCUUUAUCAACACAGAUAUUUACCUAUAUUCAGUUAAAAAAAAAAAUAAUUUAAUGAAUUUUUGAAGUGACAAUAUUAUGAUCUUGCUGGUCUUUAUCCCUCCCCAUUCUAUAUUUUCAUUUUUUUCUAUGCUACCAGUUGUCUUCUCACCUCUAACUUGUAUUUCUUUCCACCAUUCACUUCAUCUACCACUUUACUAUUCUUCCUUACCUUCCCUUAUUAUCAUCCUUCAAAACUUGUUCUACAGUAUGUUCACCUCCUUUGUUGCUCAUCAUUAUAUUCACCUCUUUGCUCAUAUUCCCAUCUAACCAUCUUUCACUCACCCAUAUUCUUGCAACUUCUAUUCAGCCACACUCCCUGUUCUACCUACACUUAUUUCUACAUCCCUUGUAUCUUGAGUGUGCACCCUUACAUCUCUUCACUAUAUUUAUCUUUUUCUAUCUCCACCUUAGCCGCUCUAACACUCUAUUUCGUUAUUAACCAUGUAGCUCCCCUACAGCAAGAAAUUUGUUUUCUUCUGGUCCCUUCUCUCAAACUUUAUUCCUUCAUCUCCUAGCAUAAAGCCACCCCUUCCCUUCUACUGUAGUGCCACUUAAUUGAAAGGCAUCUUAGUCUUGCAAGCUGCUCGACAACUUCACUAGUGUUGGUGCCAUGAAAAACUGCAGCCAGUACACUGUGAAAUAGUUGGUAUUAGGAAGGGUAUCUAGCUAUAGAAACCAUAUCAAAGUAGACAUUGAAGCACAAUGCAGUCCUCAGACCCAUUGGAUCCUUCAAACUGCCCAAAUCAUGCCAGCAUAGAACAUGGACUUUAAAUGAUGAUGAUGAUUUUGAUUAGUUCUAUAAUCCAUAGUUCAUAAAAGGCACCACUGAAGACUUUCAAAAAGAUAUAUGUGAAAAAAUAAAACUUUGUGUAUGUGUCAUUUCUAUGUGUAAUCAAUAAUGUAUACAUGGUUAUCCCCCUGAUCACUUUUGCAUCAGCUUUUCCUGGCUUGCAUAGGUUGGGAGAAUCUUUUCUAACACAAUAACUUGCUAUUUUUUGUGGUCUUUUAUAUUCUUUCUCAAGAGGUUCAGCUUUUUGAGAUUAGAUUUCACUGCUUGUUCCUGUGUCGUCCUUGGUCUUUUUCCGCCACAAGUUCCUUCUAUUUGGAUUACUCAACACUUCUUUACUCAAAUGUCAUCCAUUAUAUGUAUUCUACAUGUCUGUGCCAGUGCAUUUUCUUUCUUGCAUACCAUCGUAUUCUUUUUAUAUAUAGUUUUUCUUACAAUUCAUUUGUGUUCGUGUACACUAACAUUACAUCUCCAGUGGAGCAUGUUUUGUAUCACUUCUUUCUUGCUUUAAUAUAUCUUUCACAUUCAAUGCCCAUGUUUUACAACCAAGUGACACCACACUUUGUACUCUGCUUUUCCCUUAGAAAGUGAACUGACUUGUUGCCAGCAGAAACAAUGGCUUUCAGAAUUUUACCCCUAUAUUUUUGAACAAUCACUUUCACUGUAUGAAUAUUCGAAAGAAUUCAUUUCAUGACUUCUCUUAUUGCUAACAUCUGCUUCCUCUGAGAUCUUUCUACUCUGCUGGCCUGCCUGUGGUGUCAUGUCAUCUAUUGUGUACUGAAAUUUUGCAUGUGCCAUGCAGUUCAGAGUUCCUUACUUUUUUUCAAAAUAUUGGGGCAUAGCAAUCUCCUUGAUGGCAGUGGAGUCCUAUUCCCCUGCUUGCUAGAAAUUCUGUCUUCAAAAUUUAUAUUUAGGCUUUAUGAUUUGAGGGUUUACUUCCAUGUUUAGAAUUUCUUCUAUAUUUCUUUUAGCUUACAUGAAAUUCCAAAGACGACUGGAUGUAAACGACUUUGUUCUGUAAUAAAUGAUGGGCAACUGAGCCCUGGUGGACAUCUACUUCCAUACUAAAUUUUAUGCUAAUCUUGUUACUAACUUUCCACCUGGCUGAUAAGGUCUCUGUACAAGGUUUCCAUGCCACUCACAAGCCAUUUGUUUCUAGAUUUCUUAGUGACUGCCAGAGAAGAGAAUAAAGUAUCUUGUCAAAGGCUUACUAGGUUGACAAAUGCCAGGAAUAGUGGCUUUAUUUUAGCCAAGAACUAAUGUAGUUAUCUCACUAGGAAGAGGGACACCCCACUUGGAUACAAAUCUGAACUGCACCUCAUUUAACCCUUUAGCAUUCAGAUUAUUUUGUGAAAUGUAAUGCUUAUUUAUUCACACUGUUUUGAAUUAAUCAAGUAUUUGUCUCAUAGCUUCGAGAUUUCAAUGAUGUGAUGGGCUAGAUCUGUCUUUUUUUAAUAUAAAAUUAGUUGAAUAUUUAGGCCAAGUUUGGCUGGUUUAAAUGCUAAUUCUUUUUCUUAUCACUUGUGCUAUAACUUUUUCAAUUACUCAGUCCAUUGGUUUGGUGCCUCUCUAGUUCUUUCUCAAGUAUCUCCUAUCUUCUAGCAGUUGAUGAAGACUGUGACUGUAACACCUCUCUGUUAUACUUGACUAUGUGCAUAAUAACAUGCAACCUUCUUUGAAUAUUUGUAGUGUGUGAGUGUCCCUAAUUCUACAGCCACUUUCUCUAGAUUCCUAUGUUUACGUUUCCGAUCAUACAGAUGUUCUCUCUCUUGAGGCUACUUCAAGCAGAACUUCUCUGUCCCACACAUACUCAUUCAGCAACCUCUUGUAACAUUUCUAUGCCUCUUUUUUCUUGAAUUUUAGUGAAUGGAAUGCAUACAUAACAUUCCAUGCAUAUUUUUGCCCUAUGUCUUGAUGAGCCUAAUGCAUUGUUUUGCAGUUUGGAGCACCACAUGCUUCGGUUUCUGUUAUUGCAAAAGAUUUGGAAGCCUCUUGCUUUCAUUUUCUCUCCUAACUAUGUAUAUCUGAUAUUUAGGUUUCCUUGCUUCUCUGCUUCCCCAAAUCUAUCCAUAUCUGCCAAUUAGUUUUCAGAACUCUAUCUUUUGUAUCAAUCCACUAUGUUACCUUCUGUCUGGCUGGAAUAUUGCUCCAUCUGCAUUUUGUAUGUGGUUUGCUGAAAGUGGUUUCCCAGAAACACUAAGUUGAUGCUUAUAUGUCUAUACUACAAUAAAGAAAGCUGCUUAUUUAUUAGUUGAAACUAUGUAAGCCUACCAUGUCUAAAAAUAUUCUUAUAAAUUCCAAUUUUAAUGUAUAUUUUUGAUUAAAAUAAGAUUUUCUAAAUUCUUUUAUUGAAGAUUCAAGUACACUCCUCAAUCACAAAGCUAAUUUUUAUUCACUGCAACAAACCUCUCUCUCUUUCUCUCUUUAUAUUUAAUGGUUUUCAUUAAAUUAUUCAUAUUCACUGUAACAAUAUGUCCCCCUCUCUCUUCAAUUGUUUCCAUUAAAAGAAAAGCUUUUCUUUAAGAUACCUUAAGAAUAUCUGUGGAAAUUUUUACAAUAUCUAAUGUAUUAAAAUUACAUAGAAGUAUUAUUUCAUUCUGGACAGUUGUGUUAACCAUAGUCCUUUGAAAAUGAAACCCUUGAAUUAUUGUCUUUGUUUAAACUGACUUUGUGUUCUUUUCUUUCUUUUUUGCCGCAUUCCACCUUUCAGUCUUUGUCUCUUCUCUGUCUCACAAACUUCAUUUGUAACCUUUGCCUUGUCAUUUCACUUAAUUCUUUAUUUCCCAGCACAGUUGUUACUUUCACUCUGUUCUCUCUCUCUCUUUCUUCAAAACAAGUGGUUUCAAAGAUUUUCUUUGAGAUACUUUGAGAACAUUUCAGAAAAUGUUUACACUAUAUCUAUCAUAUCAAAAUUGCUUUGCAGAUAUCAUUUGAUAUUUGCAAAAAUAAAGAAAAGAUUGUGUGUGUAUAUUGGGAGAAAUGCAAACACGACAAAUUCCUGUAAAAAACUGCCGUGAGGGCAGUUUUCUGAAUAUUAAGUACUUAUUUUUCUUGACUAUUUAUUUAGUACUUAUUAAAACUGCUGUCCAGCUGAUAGAAUUUCAUUCUCCAUGUCUUCCUGCUUAAGGUUGUUUUGUGUCUUAUAGUCAAUUUAGCUCUGAUUUUGAAGUUGCUGAUCACAUAAAUGUGUAGAGUGGUUCAUUUUUCAUCAUGAAAUAUCUUAAUAUUAGAGACCAGUAACAUAUGCCAUUUCAAGGUAAUACAAAAUAUAUCUGGCUUGUCUGUUCAACUUAUUGGUAGGUAAUCAGAUGCCUGGCAAAUGGUUAGGUAUGUUUCUGUGUGUAUUUAUGAAUGGAUAUUGUGUACAUGUAUAUAUACAUGUGUGUGUGUUUGUAUGUGUGUAUGUAUAUAUAUAUAUAUAUAUAUAUAUAUGUGUGUGUGUGUGUGUACAAGUGUGUAUGUAUAUAUAUGUGUGUGUGUGUGUACAAGUGUGUAUGUAUGUAUGUAUGUAUAUAUAUAUGUGUGUGUGUGUGUGUACAAGUGUGUAUGUAUAUAUAUAUAUGUGUGUGUGUUUGUGCAGCUCCUCAGCUUAAGUCAAACCAUCCAACCCAUGCCAGCAAGGACAACAGACAUUAAAUGAUGAUGAUAUAUAUAUAUAUAUAUAUAUAUCCAUGUCGAGGACAUGUAAAAAGCACCAACUGAUUGUGGCCGUUUGCCAGCCUCCUCUGGCCCCUGUGCUGGUGACACGUAAAAAGCACCCACUACGAUCAUCAAGUGGUUGGCAUUAGGAAGGGCAUCCAGCUGUAGAAACACUUCCAGAUCAGAUUGGAGUCUGGUGCAGCCUCUUGGCUCCCAAGACCCCAGUCGAACCGUCCAACCCAUGCUAGCAUGGAAAACGGACAUUAAACGAUGAUGAUGAUGAUAUAUAUAUAUAUAUAUAUAUAUGGCAGAAUUUUUUUUGAAAAUGCACCUGAAUUUGAAAAGCUUGUAAUUGUUUUUAAAUAAAUUUAUUUACACAUAUACCAAACCAGUUACAACAAAAUUUUACUUAUCAAUGGUAUAAACAUAUAUAAAACAAUGGGAUUUUUAAAAUUGCGAAUUAGAAAACCAGUUUAAAUGAUAAAUUAUUCACAAAAUUCAAUGACAGGGGUAGAUAAUACCAUAAAUGAUUGGUGAAGAAUAUGAAAAAUGUAGAUUAUUAAAAGUUCGGUAUUAUUGAGUUUAGAGAGAGAAAUAAGAAAAGAAGAGAGUAAAAAAACAGGGUUUUUUUUUUCUUACAGUUUGUGUGUGAUUGUUUUUUCCGAUGUCUACAGGGCUUGGAAAAUUUUGUGACCAGGGGCUUGAAUUUUGUAAACAUUUUAUCAUUUAAACAUGUUUUCUACUUCACAAUUAAAAAAUUUUUAAAUCUCAUUGUUUUAUAUACAUUUAUACCAUUGAUUAACAAAAGAUUGUUGAAAAUAGUUUGGUAUGUAUGUAAAUAAAUUUAUUUAAAAAGAAUGAAAAUAUUUUGAAAUUCAGAUGAACUUUCAAAAACAAAUUCGCCUAUAUUUUUUUCUUUCAAGGAAAUACACCCCUUCUUUCCAUAUAUCCAUACAUCUAUCUGUCUGUCUGUUUGUCUAUCUACAUACAUACACAGACACACACACACACAUGUAUGUUUAUGUGUGUAUGCAUAUAUCAUCAUCAUAUGUCUGUUUAUGCUUCCUUGGGUUUCAUGGUUUGACAAAAUGUGAGGAGCUGCAAGGCUAAGUCAUGCUCCAGUGUCAGCUAUGCCUUCAUUUCUACAGCUAGCUGCCCUUCAUGAUGCCAGCUUACAUGUAUAUAUAUAUAUAUAUACAUAUAUAUGUGGACACGUUUGUGUGUUGGUUAUCUAUACACAGAUAUAUGUCUGUAUAUGUAUAUAUAUAGAUAUCCAUCUAUAUGGUAUGUAUAUAUGUGUGUGUGUGUGUAUAUAUAUGUCUAGAUAGGUGUGUAUAUAUAUAUAUAUAUAUAUAUAUAUACACACACACACAUGUAUAUCUGUAUAUCCAAGUAUGUAUGUGUUUCUGUGUCUAUGUGUAUGUAUGUAAAUAUAUAUAUAUAUGUAUGUAUGACUAGCAGGAGUACCCAGUGUUGCUUGGGUAUUAAAUACUUUGCAAUGGUCUUAAUAGGUUCUACCAUUUUUUGUUUUGUACAUCUCAGUGAAUAUUGUUUGCGUUAAGUUGCAAAAAUUGACAUUGAGGAAGAAGUGAUUUUUCCCAUAGACCAUAAAUAAAGUAGUAACAACAGGAUGAAAAGCCUGAGGCGGCACAUUUUUUACCACUAACUGCAUUCCGUUGCACAGACAUAGUGACUCCAGGUUCCUCAACAGCAUGAAUGGAGCUCCAAUUUUGAGGUGCAAUUGAUGAGGUGGUAGUCUGGAGGAGUCCAAGGAAUUGAGGAAUUCUGUGGGAAAAUUAACGGCGUCUUCUUGGUCCACAAGAGUGUCCACAGACUUGUAGGUGUGAAGGUUUCCAGAAGGGCUUUGCAGUAGGUCUUUAUUGAGUUUCGCAACAAAUGUGUUUUUGGGAGCUAAUAUGGCUCUUUUGCACAGCCAAUUCAGGUUUUGAUAGUUUAUGUGCAGAUCAGGAAAAACAGCAGUCAUAUAUGUGUAUAUAUAUGUAUCUUUAUAUAUAUCAUCAUCAUCGUUUAACGUCCGCUUUCCAUGCUAGCAUGAGUUGGACAAUUUGACUGAGGACUGGCAAACCAGAUGGCUGCACCAGGCUCCAAUCUUGAUCUGACAGAGUUUCUACAACUUGAUGCCCUUCCUAACGCCAACCACUCUGAGAGUGUAGUGGAUGCUUUUACGUGCCACUGGCACGAGGGCCAGUCAGGCGGUACAUGCAACAGCCACACUCAAAUGGUGUUUUUUUAUGUGCCACCUGCACAGGAGCCAGUCCAGCGGCACUAGCAACAACCUUGCUUGAAUGUUUUUCACGUGCCACCAGCACAAGUGCUAGUUUGGUGACACAAGUGCUAGUAUGGUGACACAAGUGCUAGUUUGAUCAGGCUCGAAUGGUGCUUUUUACCUGCCACUGACACUGAAGCCAGUUAGCUGCUCUGGCAAUGAUCACACUCAGAUGGUGCUCUUAGCACUCCUCUAGCAUGGAUGCCACUCAUCGAAUUUGAUUUCAAUUUCGAUUUUACUUGCCUCUACAGGUCUUCGCAAGCAGAGUUUAGUAUCCAAUGAAGGAAAGGUACGCAUAAGUGGGCUGGUUACACCCCUGGCAUAGGCCACAAGGUUAUGGUCUCAUUUGGCUUGCUGGGUCUUCUGAAGCACAGCAUAUUUCCGGAUACGUCCAGCCUUUAGGACAGCCCUGAAAGAAAAGAAAGAUGGACGAUGGUCACGUGUGAGCAAUGAGAAACGAGAAAGAUGGCUACUUAUAAAUGCCAAAACUUUCCCAGCUGAAGAAUGCACCCCUCAACAUAGAAUAGUAGUUAGUGACUUCAGGAUCAGGGCUAAAUCGAUGCCCAGAAGACAACCAGCAUAGAGAAGGGUCUGAAAGCUUUAGGAUCCUGCAAGUGGAUAUCACUCAAUGCUUAUGAUGAAACAGAGGGGCAUAUAGCAUCACUUGCUGUGGAAGACAACUGGAGGUUUAUACAGGACAACCUGUUGAGGGCUACUGACCAGAUCUGUGGAUGGUGCAAAGUCUCUUCUUGACACAGGGUAAUGUGGUGGUGGAACAGUGUUGUUGACAGGUCCAUUAGGGAAAAGAAACAGAUAUGGAAGGACUUGAAGAACAGUGGUAGCUGGGUAUUGUAUCAGAUUGCCAGAAGGGAAGCUAGGAGACAGGUUUACUUAGCCAGAGGGGAAGCAGAUACAAAAAAUUUGCCCAUGUUCUGCGUCAUGAGAACCAAAGACUUGAAGUGUUUUGUGUUGCAGGACAGUGUGAGAGAGAGAAUUGUGAUGUCAUAGAGACAUGUGUCCGAAUGGAUGAUGGUUCGCUUGCAUUUAAUGAGGCUGCAAGGUGAGAUACUUGGAAAUGCCACCAUGAAAGGUUGCUAAAUGAAGUGAAUGAAUGGGAGAAAGAGAGUCUGCCAAAUGUCAACCCAAUGGAGGGAUCAGCUAUUUGAAUUGACAGUACCUUGGUAGAUAAAGCAAUUAAGGGUAUGAAGACAGGGAUUAUAUCAAUAUGUGAUCAAGGGAUAUUAAAAAAAUUGCAAGCAAAAAUCAAACUUUUGGAGUUGAGAAGCAGCAAAACUGGAAUUUCCCAGAAGAAAUCAGAGUGCAGAACAGCCAAUCAAGUGCCUUCAAGAUCUUUAUGAUACUUGUAAAAAGAAGGAGAAACUUCAGCUUCGAUUUAGUUGAUCUAACAAAAUGUAUUAAUUCUUUGUUAUGUUUAAAAAUUUGCUAACAUUUAGCACCCUUUUUCUUAUACAGUUAUUUAAAAUUGCAAUGAAACCUAUAAAGUUAAGGAUAUGUAUUGUUAUUAAUUUUGUAUGUUAUCAAAUGCUUAUAGAUGCUUCUGUCUUAAAACAGCCUAGUUUUGAACUUCUGCAUAGAGCAAAAAAAUGUAUAAAUGCACCUUUGUUUCACAUGUCGCUUGCAUUUACAAGGAUUAAGGCAGCGGAAAUACUGAAUCUAGUGAUUAUAGUUUGAAAAGCCCAUAACUCCAAAACUACUUCAACUAGAAAGCUGAAAUUUUAGAUAUACUAUUUCUGAAUUUCAUUGAGUCAGCACACCAAGUUUGGUAAAAACUUGAGCAGGCAUAAAGAAAUAAUCCCCCACUCCCCCAUCUAGAAUUUUGUAUGAUUUAGGUCGAAAUUGGUGAUUGAUUUCUUAAGUUGGAGGUGAUGUUUUUUUUCAAAUAAAGCAAAAUAAAUGUUAGUUUCCUGACUUUUAUGAAAUUACUCAUCAAUUUACAGUAUAGGGUUAUUAGGUUGUGAAAAUGUCAAUCCUAAUGUAUGUAUGUGUAUAUAUAUAUAUAUAUAUAUAUCGUUUUUAGAAAAAACAUAAAUCCAGAGAAGUUCACUCUAAGAAGUAAAGCAGUCUAUAUUUUUUCCUGGUGAAGGCCAGUUCAUGGUUUACCUUGGGUUUUCUGUUCAUAAUGGGUUUAACUUUAUGGCGUAUUGUCAGACCUGAAGACCUGUUUGCCUACGACCUCUUUAAAAUAUGGAGGGGAAAUGUCUUCACUCUGUCAGAAAUUUGCAAAUGACAUGCUGUACUGCUUGGCACUUGUAUUGGGAGCUCUGAUGCAAACAUUUCAGGGUGUUUUGGUAUCAAUUUGAGGAUGUGUACUGAGAGUGAUAAAAAUCAAACAUUCAUUCAGUAUGUUGGUCUUUGGGAUGAUCACUAGUGAUGGUGACUUUAUGCCUCCCUUCAUCUUCCCACAGCCUAAAUAUGAUAGCCUUCAUCAAAUGCCUGGAGUUAGUCAGGAGGGUGGCUGCUGGAAGAUUCUAUGUCUGGCAACAGGACUUUGCACCAUGCUACACAAGCAAGAGAACCCAGUCAUGGCUGUCAGACAAUUUCUGCAACUACAUCACCCCUAACAUCUGGCCACAUGUGUAUUGUUUAUAUAUAUAUACACACACACACACUCACAUGCACUUGCAUAUAUACAUGUAUAUAUGUAUGUGAGCUCAUAUAUAUAUAUAUUUCAUGUAUGCUUAUUUGCUACACUUUUUUUGGCUCUCCAUUUUGUUUUUGUUCCCUUUAGUCUUUUUGGGUGAAGACCAUAGGCUCUAAAUGUCAAAGACUGUUCCUCUCUUUGCAAGCAUCAAACUAAUACACCUGAUUGUUGUUCCCUCACCUGUCUUCAUCUUUUGUUUUCUGUCAAUUUGAACAGUAAAUACAUUUAUAUAUAUAUAUAUAUAUAUAUAUAUAUAUAUAUAUAUAUACCUGUUUGUUUAUGUAUUUAUAUAUGUGCGUAUAUGUAUGUAUGUGUAUAUAUAUAUAUUAUCAUCAUCAUUUAAUGUCUGCUUUCCAUGCUGGUAUGGGUUAGCCGGUUUGACUGAAAACUGGUAAGCCUGAGAGCUGCACCAGGUUCCAGUCUGAUUUGGUGUGGUUUCUUUGGGUGGAUGCCCUUCAUAAUGUGAACCAUUCUGAGAGUGUAAUGGGUGCUAUUUACGUUCCACUGGUACAAGUGCCAUUUACAUGACACCAGCAAUGGCCACAAUUGCAAUUAUGAUUUAGCUAUAUGUAUGUAUAUUUAUAUCUAUAAAUAUAUAUGUAUGUCUAUGUAUUUAUGUAUAUAUUUGGAUAUAUGUGUAUGUAUGCAUAUAUCUGUAUUAUAUGUGUGUGUACUUACAUGCAUACAUAUAUAUAUAUAUAUAUAUAUAUAUAUAUAUAUAUAUAUAUAUAUGCAGUACUCCAACAUGGCCACAGCCUUAGGGCUGAAUCAUCUAAAAGAAUACACUCACACACAAACACACACACACAUAUAUGUAUGUACAUACAUAAAUUUGUAGGUAAUUAUGCUGAUAAACAAGUUAGAUACAUGAAAUGUAUUAAAUGUAAUAGUUUGGUUAUGAAAUACAAAAUAUGUCUAUAUGUGUACAUGGAAACGAGAGAAAGUAAAAGGUUGAAACUUUGAGAUCAUGAAUUUUUAGGUGUAUAGGUCCAACUUACAAAGUACAAAUGACAGAGAAAAUUAAAGAGGUGGAAGAAAGGUAUUAUAAGUCCAACAGCUGUUUCUGGGGACUCGGAGAUCCAUAAUAAUAUUAGUAGAUGUAAUAUUGAGAUCUGAAAUAUAAGACUUUCUCUACCCUUCAUGACAGAGAUAUGUCUUAUCCAAUGUUAAAUGCAUCCAGAUUUGAUCAAUAAGUGUCUGGAUUGUUGCCAUAGUAACUGCUUCUCAAAGAUUGACCUUGGACUCUGCUGUGCAUGCACACUAAGUUUUAAUGAUCUAACCCACUUACGCUGUUUACAGCAGUUCUUGGAAGGAAGUUGUGUAGCAUGUGAUUGUCGCAUUGACCAUGACAUAGAAAGUUGUCAUGGCAAUACCUGCUCAGAGGCCUACGCUAAGUUGCAGAAAGUGUACGGAGAGGAGUGUAUGAGUGGUUCAGACGUUUCUAAGAUGGCUGCAAAAAUGUCAAUAUUGACGAACGUUCUUGGAGACCCCAACCAGCAGAACUGAGAAAAACAUUGCAGUUGUGUGUACAGCUGUGAGGGGAAACCAUUGAAUCAUCAUCCGUGAGCUAUCAGAGGAUGUGUAGAUUAGUAAAUGUUUCGGUUCAGUUCAUUAUCACUGAAGAUUUGGGCAUGAGAUGCAUAUCUGCCAAGUUUGUGCCAAAUCUGCUUUCAGCUGGUGAAAAAAAACAAAAAACACUCAGGUUUCAGUUGCACAAGAUCUCCUUGGUUGUGUUGAGAACUAUGAAAAAUGUUUGACAAUUUUGUGUAGGCUUCUGAGCAGGUAUCGUCAAGCAGAUUGGUGCAGAUUCUCUGCUCAACUCUGUCAUGGCCAAUGUGAUGAUCUCAUGUUAUACACCUUUCUUCAAAGCACUGCUGUAAACAGUGGAAGUGAGUUAGAAAAUUAAAACCUGAUGCACAUACACAGCAGAGUUCAUGGUCAAUCUGUGCCAAGUGGCUUCACUCUGCACACUUUAGCUUUGUUACUAUGGCAGCAGUCCAGAUACUUAUUGAUCAGAUCAUGUACAACUGCAUAUUGUAGUGAACUACAUCUAUGAAUAUUAUUAUGGAUCUCAAAGACCCCAGAAACUGCUGUUGGACUUGCAACAGCUUUUUUCAACCCCUUUGAUUUUUUAUGUUGUUUGUAUUCUAUGUAAGUUGGACCUUUUAAUAUAAAUAUCUAUAUUUGAAAGUCUCCACCUUUAGCCUUCUCUCGUUUUGCAUCUAUACAUAUAGUCAUAUUUUGUAUUUCAUACCCAAACUAUUAUAUUUAAUAUAUUUAAUGUAUUUAGUUUGUUUAUCCGCAUAAUUGCUUCUAUACCUGCUGAACUUGAUUCCUCUUAUAACCAUUCUUUACCUUGUGCACUCGAACCCCUGUAAAGACAUCGGACUCUAAGUUUGAAUCCUUUGAGCACUACUAUGUACCUUCUAUACGGAGAAUGUAUGGAUCUCAUCUGUGGGCUACACACACACACAUAAAUGUAUAUAUAUGCAUGUUGUAUUAUACUUGUUCAAUAAAAAUCAUUUUCUUUGAAAACAGGUAAGUGUUAUGAAUAGGAAUAUUAAGGGACUGUAAAUGCCCUACUUACAUGUUACUAAUAAUGCUUUCCUAUAUGUAGAGUUACCCAUAUAUUUUGGGAAGAGGAUAUUUGUCUUCGUCUUUGAUAUUUUGGAACUUGGUUUUAUAUUUCAAAUACAUGAAGAGUUUAUGAUACCUUUGAUACCAGUUUUGGUUUGCUAACUGAACUUAAUUAUUUCUUGGGUAACAAUUCUCAUUGCUUUGAUAUAUCAGAAUAGCUGCUCUACUUCACAAUAGGUCGGCUUUGAUUGAAUUGAGUUGAGAUGAUUACAUUUGUUCCAGCCUAGCCCUUGUCUUUUGUUCAGGCAUGAUAUAUAAUCUUAUACUACAAUAACUGAUGCAUCCUUCCCUUCUAAGACUAUAAGGUCUAGUUUUAGAGAGAUUUAGCUGUAGCCUCUUGAAUUUUGAGUAACUCUGUGGAGGUUCCUAUUAUUCAGCAAAGCAUUAACCUGACUCUCUGUUAGUUAUGUAACUCUAAGAAAUACCACAUUAAUAUGCUAUAUGUUCAAUACCACUUGUAUUGUUGUUUUGUUGUGCAUCAGUGCGAUAGAUUGAAAUACUUUGCUGCUGAUCAUUUGUGUGUGUAUGUUUGUAUACUUAUUUACAUAUGCACAAACAACUGUUAUAUGACACCAGUAUUGAUAAAAAGUAAAUUGUCCCGUUCAUUGGUUGCCAUUGCUUCAUACGGGUCGUAUAAUUUGACAUUUUUCAGCAUUUCUCUUUAAAUUGUGGUUGGAAAUGGGCAGCUAAACUAGAUAUUCCUGUUUGUAUGUUUGGUUCUUUAUUGUGUUUGUGCUGUUUUUAAGUGCAUACGUUUAAUUUUGUGUUCUGGAAUUAGAGUAAAACUGUCCCUGCUCCCCACCCCCAGAGAUAAGCAGAAAAAAAAUGUGGAAAAAGAACUCCAGUAUUUGAAUGAAAUUCUGUGAAAUAUAUUGAAAGUCAGCUUAUGUUGAGUGGUUGGUCUCAUGAUACUUGCUACACUCUUCUUUGUUUUGUUGUGUUAUAUACUUACAUAUGAACAUAUAUAUAGGUUAAUGUUUGUUUUUAUAUUUAGUCGUAAUAUAUAAAAAAUUUUACAUUAGUCUGAGAGGGUUACUCUAUAUUUUUGUAGUGUACAAGUUUGUUCUUAUACAAGAAUAUUGUUGACAAUGAUUUUGAAGUUUUAGCCAUAUGACAAUGGUUCAAAUGGUCAAAACUUCAAAGUUACUUUUAACAGAGUCCGCAAAAAAAAAAAAUGUAUACACACUUCAGGAAAGGAAAAAUCUGUAUAGAUAUUUAACUUGUGUAAGUACCCCUAUCAUAUUGUGAUAGUGAAUUAAAAUAUUUAUACAGAUUUUUCUUUUCCUGAAGUGUGUACUGAAAAUCCUCGAGUAUAAUCCGCAUUUUUUCCCCAAAAUUUAAAGGUCAAAAUCCCUAGUGCUUACUAUAUACGAGGUUAAAAAUGAAAAUUAUUUUCUAAGCAAUGUCCAAAUCUCUAUUUGCUGUCCGGCAAUGUUUAUUCAGACGCAUUUUGUGAUGUUGGGCGUGAAAAUACCUUAAGCUAAGCCUGAAAGCAAUGAAGUCAUAAAAGAAUCAUCCAUAACUUGCUGUAAUCAAAAUUUAUUAAACGUUAUUACUGUUAUUUCUCUAUUUUCUGCAAACAAAAUGCACAUAAAAGCUACACAUUUGCAUUAUGUUAUACAUACAAUAAUAAUAAAGGACGUUACUGUAUACAUUUUUACAAACCAAGGACUUUAUAUAGGCCUCCUUGACUCAAGUUGGAGAAGGGGUGCGUAUUAUACACAAAGUUUAGGUUUUUCAGAGGUACAGCCCCCUAAAAAUCCUCUGUAUAUUAUACUCAAGGGCAGACUAUACUCAAGGAUUUACAGUAUACUUUUUUUUUACAGACUUUGUGUGUGUGUCUGUGUAUAUAAUGUACAUAUAUACUUAAAUACUGAGAGAAGAGUGCAUAUAAUCCAAGAGUGUAUAUGUGUGUGUAUAUUCUUGUGUGUCCCCAUGCAUUUGUAUGUCCUCUUGCUUUGACAUGUAAUACUUGUAAAUAAGCAUCAUGAUCAUUGAAGGUAUUGUUUGUUUUCAAUCUUCUAUGAAGCCUGUCUACUCAAGGGGAAAUAUUACCUUGCUUGGAAAUGAGGGGUUGGCAAUAGGAAGGGCACACAGCCAUAGAAAAUCUGUCUUACCCAUACAAGCAUAGAAAAGUGGACCUUGAAAUAAAAAUAAUCUACCUAUGUGUUUAUUUAUAUAUAUUUCUGUGUAUGUGUGUACAUAAUUUAUGUACAUGUGUGUAAUUCUUCACAUAUGCAUGUAAAGCGGCAUGCUGUCAGAAACAUUUAUCCAUGUUCAGAAUUGUUGAUGUGUGAAAUAAACAACCCUCACCUGUUGUUAGCCGUCAGGACACUGCAUCCUUCAAAAAUUCAAUGCUUCCCAAAAUUCGAUAACAUUACUCCUGACAUGCUUACACAUUAUUUCCUCUUCGUGGCUCUUUUACUGUUUACUUAUCUUUCUUUUUUGUUGUACUGUGCCUGAAUUUUUGACUCUUGUUGCUGUUUUUCUUUAUUUGACUUAUUACUGCUUUUUGUCCUUCAUUCCUAUUCUUUUUUCCAACUGAUUGUUGUGUACCUGAUUACUGCAUACCACGAGCUCAUUAUUAUGAAGGUGGUGAGCUGGCAGACUCGUUAGUGCGCUAUUUCACCUGUCACUAUGUCCUGAGUUCAAAUUCCACCAAGGUUGACUUUGCCUUUCAGCCUUCUGGGGUUAGUAAAAUAAGUACCAGUUGAACACUGAAAUCGAUGUAAUUGACUCAUCCCCCUUACCCAAAAUUGCUGCCCUUGUGACAAAAUUUGAAACUAUUAUUAUUAUUGUCAGAAGGUGCAGGCAUAACUGUGUAGUUAAAAAAUGUGCUUUCCAACCACAUGGAUGUAGGUUCAGCCCUAUUGUACAUCACCUUGGGAAAGUGUCUUCCACUAUAGUCCUGGGUUGACCAAGGCAGAUUUGGUUGAUGGAAACUGAAAGAAGCCCAUCUUGUGUGUGUUUGUGUCUCUUUGUCUUAAUGUGUGAUAGUUGUGACUAUUGCUGUCAUAAUGUGGUAUCAUCUGUUUCCAUUGUUCUGUGCAAACAUGUCUGGUGAAAGGGAAAUAUUACCUUACAUGAAAGCAGACAAGGUUUUUGGUGACAGGAAGGGCAUGCAGCAGUAGAAAACCUACUUCAGUGAAUUCCAUCUGACCCAUGUAAAUAUAAAAAAGUGUACUCUGAUAAUGAUGUGUGUAUGUGAUCCUUUCAACAUUCACUUUUCUAUGUUUGCAAGGAUAAGAUGGAUUUCAUUGAGGCAGAAUUUUUGCAGGUAGACACCCUUUCUGUUGCCAAGCCCCACUUAUUUCCAAGUAAGAUAAUAUUCCUCAUAAUCAAGCACUUUUUCAUGGAACAUUGGAAAUGAACAACAUCGCUUGUAAGACACUGAUGAUUGUUUACAACAAUUGUGUAUUGUCAAGACUAGGGAACACACACAUUUGUAUGUGUAUAUCUACCUAUACAUACAUACAUACAUACAUAUAUAUAUAUAUAUAUAUAUAUAUAUAUAGUAGAAAUUAUAUGUACAAGUAGAUGUACUUGAUAUAAUAAAGUAUUUCCUGAGGUUCUGUUAGAAUGAGUAUCUAUUGUGGGCUCCAAACAACCAUAAUAGUGCAACAUGUAGAAACUUCGAUAUAAACUGUGUUUAUCCUUAUUUCUCUUAUAUAUCUGUAUAUAUAUAUAUAUGUAUAUAUAUAUAUAUAUGUGUGUGUGUGCUUGUACCAUGUAAAAAGCACUAAGUCUACUCUGCUGAGUGGUUGGUGUUAGGAAGGGCAUCCAGCUGUAAAAAUUCUGCCAAAAUAGUUAUGGAAGUCUGGUGCAGGCUUCUACUUGGCUGGUUCCUGUCAAACUAUCCCACCCAUACCAGCAUGGAAGGCCGACUUUAAGCAAUGAUGAUGAUGAUGUGAUGUUUUCUAUUGUUUCAGUUUCUGUCUAUCAAAUCCACUUACAAGGUGUUGGUCUUCUCAGAACUAUUGUAGAGGACAGACACUUGCCCAAGGUACCUCACAGGGGGACCAAACCAGAAACUUUUCAGCCAUACCUAUCAUAGUGAUGCUAAACCUAUCAUAUAUAGGAUCAUGUACAUGUAUAUAUAUGCAUUACUGAUGUAAAUUGUAACCAUAACUCUCAACUUUCCAUUUCAUAUUUAUUCCAAUAGGAUUUGGCGUCAAGAAAUGUUCACCUAUUCUUACUCAUAUAUUAAACCUUUAAUGGUCACAUUUUUUGAUGAAGUAAAAUGCUCAUGUGCUUGAUUCACUUUUGAAAAUAAUCAAGAAUUUAAAGCAAUUUAAGAAAAUAUCCAAUUUUUUUAUGAAUGUUCACGUUAAUCCUUUUCAUAUCAACCCACCCAAAACUGCCUCUGGUUCUUUGAUACAAACUUUGUUUUAAACUGAUCAAAAUUAAAACCUCUGUAAUAGUGAUGAACUUAUUUUAACAAAUUCUUUGUCAUUUUCAAAAUGAUUUGAAACAAAAGCAAACAGAAAUAAAGUAACAAAUGGGUUAAGCUAACGUUUGGAAAGGUGUUUCUCAACUGGGGUCCGACUCUUGGUGGUCUCGUAAGACUUUUUAAAAAUUUGUGCAAUAAACUGGUUAUACUUCUGUAAUACUCAAAAUAUUUUAAACAUUGAAAUGGCUAUGUGAGUCCAACCAAGCAAAAUAGGAGUCAAAAGGGGUCCAUAGGUAAAGACAAUGUUGAGAACCACUGGCUUAGAACUGAAUCUUAAUGGAAACAUUUUUGCUUGUAUGUUAUUAGAUCAGGUUUUUCAUUUUAUGUGAAGUGUAAAGCGGACAAUUUUUGCAGUAUACAACUAGAUGCAGUCUCGGAUUGAUUUGUAUCAAAGGAGUUAAAUAAUCAAAAGUCUAUCUACAUACACUGCCUAUGUGUAUAGGUGGUGUAUACACACAUAUAUUUUUGUUUAGCUAAUGUUAUCUAUCUCAGUUGCUAACAUGAUGAGAUGGUAGUAGAAGUGAGAAUGAGAAACUUUGUUAGUUACCAAAAAUUUUCAGUGAAAAAUGUCAAACUGAACCAAUAUCCAAUUUAUUAUCAUCUAAUCAAUAUUAAGGUGCAUUCUCUGUUUUGACAGUUGGUCUCACCACCACUUUUUCUUACACUUGGUUCCCCCUCGCCCGCUUUCCUUUCCUUCCAUUUACAUUUUAAUUUCUUCAAUUUCUUCUGCCUUUUUUCCUUCUUUUUCGUUUUCUGUUUUCAUUUCAUUCCCAUUUCUUCUCUUUACGCUUUCCUUUAUUUCUUUCAUUCCUUCUUUCUUCAGUUCUUUCUGUUUUCAUUUUACUUUCUUUGUCUAUUUCUCUUUUGCUCCUCCUUCACUUUCCUAAAACAUUGUCUAGUGUUCUUGACCUUUCUAAAACAUAGUUAAUGAAACGAAACUAGUAUCAAGAACAGGAGGUCAUGGAGGGAGCAACUUCAUAGACAAGAUAAAUAAUUAAGAAAAAUACCUGACAAGAACAAUAAAAAUGCAAUAUAUUUGUGUAACUUUCUAAUGUCAAUUGAGAAAUAACCUGCUGUAUGUAUUAAUACUUUUGUGUGAAAUUUUGGUAAAGUGGAUAAUGAUACCAAUCGAUCGACUUAUUGAUUUAUUUCAAAUUUGACCGGUUGUCGAAUGUUCAGGUUGUGUCCCUGUCUUCAUCAUCACUGUAUAUUAUGUAGAUUUAGUGGAAGAAUGUUCUACAAAACAGUAUAUGUUGUUUCUUUAGAUGAUGAAUUAGUGAAGUUGAAUAUGAGAGAGAGAAAAAAGAUGGAAGAUGUCUUAAACAUGUACAUUAACACAUCUACCUAUCUAGUAAAUUCAGUGUAUUUUUAUUAUCCCAUCCUUUCCCCCGAACUUAUACAGACAGAUAGAUAAAUAUUUUAUUAGAUUUUUUUUUUCUCAAAGAUAUUCUACUUUUAGCUGGGAGUUUAGCUUCAUUUACUGUCAGUUUGAUAAUGGAGGAGGAAAUUAGAAACUUAGUUGGUUAUUUUGAUACCAGCCCACCCAGGAUCAGCUCUGGUUGUGAGAUAGGAAAAUAUCUUGUUUUGAAUUGUUUAUAUUUAAAUAGAAAACAAAAUUAUAAUUUCAUGGUAGAUACCUUCUGUUAAGAUUUGCUUAAUAUCGACAAAAUUGCUGUAAAUUGUUAUUUUUGGAAUUUAGUUGGAAUGCUUACACAGAAAAUUUCAUUACAAAAUCUUGUCAGAAGAAGGUUAAAUUUCGGUGGAAAAUGUUUUCAAUUUCAAACUUUUAUAUUAUUCAGUUUUAUCAUUGUGACAAUGUAUUCCAUGAGAAUUAAGAUGUUUGAUAUAAAAUGCUGUCUGAUGUUGUUGUAUAACUAUAUAAUUGAUUGUAAUUUUAAAAAAUACAAAAAGCAGAACAAACACACCAAACAGUCCCAAAACGCUAGUUAAAAGUGAAUUGUAAAUGAGUUGAAAUUCACACACAAACACACACAUUUUUGAAGACAGGUAUGCAAACAAAUGUUUUUUUCUAUUUUUUUUCUUUGUAUUCUGGUUACUAAAAAAAUAUACUACAUAAAGAUAAGCAUAUUUUAUUUAAACUGUGGUAUUAUUAAUAAAAUACUUCAUUUGUAUCUCAUUCAUUAUGCUAUUCUCCCCACUCUUCCAAUCAGCUCUCUAUCUGUUUCCUUUUGCCAUUUUAAGUGAUUUUUGAAUUGUUGAUGACAAUUCUCUAUUAUGGGAAAUUCUUUGAUUUGCACUUUCAUUUUAUAUCUGGCAACCUUUUGAAUUAGAAAAGUGAGAAAAAUGUGGGGAAAAAAUGUAAUAGAAAUCUUUUAGGGGUUUUAAAAGGUAAAUUAUUUUUAGCUAUAGCCUAUUUUCAUUUCAAUUUCAAACUUACAAUAAAACUUUGUAUAUGUUUCAUUAAAAACAUUGUAAUAAAAGAACACCCUUUCCUACACUGACUAUUUGAAUGGAAUAGGGAAGCUUCCUGUAUGGUUAGGUAUACAACCACACACAGCAAACAUAAGGUAUAACUGUUAAUAAGGUUAUUUCUAUGUAUGUAUCUUUAAGGGAUUUCAGUGUGUGUGGUUAUCUUUUACUUGUUUCAGUGAUUAGCCUGUGGCGAUGCUGGGGCACUGCCUUGAAGAACCUUUAGUCAAAUGAAUCAACCCUAGUACGUUUUUUUUUAAAGCUUGGUACUUAUUCUAUUGAUCGCUUUUGCUAAACUGCUAAGUUACAAAGACAUAAACACAUGGUGAUGUGGGACAGAUGCGCACGCGCGCGCGCACACACACACAUGACAAGCUUUUUUCAAUUUCCAUCUACCAAAUCUCCCCCACAUAGUUUUGGUCAGCCCAAAUCUAUAGUAGAAGACACUUGCCCAAGGUACCACACAGUGGGACUGAACCCUGAACCGUGUGGUUGGGAAGCAAGCUUCUUACCACACAGCUGCACCUGUUCCUUAUGUGUAUGCAUGCACAUAAUAUACAUAGUCUGUACAAGAUGUGUCAGAAAAGAAAAGCUGAAAUUUAAAAAAAAAUACUUAGCAUAAGAGGAAUCAAAGGUAGUAUGCAAGAGAGAAGACUACACUGAUAUGGACAUGUAAUAGAGGAUGCUAGCUGGGUAAGGACACACCAAACAGGUGGAAGGAAACUGUGGAAGAUAAAAACUGAGGAAAAAGUAAUGAAAGCUGACGUCAGGAGACAAAACUUCAUGAAGGUGAUGUCAGUGAACUGUUUACGAGUGGUGAGAUGCUAUGAUGAAGCAGACUCAUACAACCCAUGUAAGCAUGAAGAUACAGAAGUAAAAAGAACUUUAAAAAUUAUCACACACACACCUGUUUAUAACUACUGACAUUCAUCAUUAUUUACAAAGCAAUAUUAAAUUCUGUAGCUAAGUGAUUGUAUGCAAGUGUAUGUGUGCAAUGUGUUUAAAUUAGCUGCUUUUUACAUUUAUAUAUAUAUUUCUUUUAUUAUUUUUUAUGUCUGACAAGUAAUCUUUACUAAAAACACUCCCCAAUAUACCAGUCAUUAUUUCUUUUUUGAUUAAAGAAUGUAAUUAUUAUUUAUCAUGUAAUGCAGCUCUUAUAUAUAUGUGUGUAAAAGUCUAUAAUUUGGUAAUACUAAUAAUAAUCCUUUUUACUAUAGGCACAAGACCUAUAAUUUUGGUGGGAGAGGACUAGUCACUUACAUUGACCUAGUAAUAAUAAUAAUAAUGAUGAUGAUGAUAACAAUAAUAGUAAUAAUAAAAAUAAUAAUAAUUUCAGACAUUUGUAGAAGGUAACAAAUUAAACGUUGGAGUGAAUUCACUUGACAUACACACACACACAUAUAUAUAUAUAUAUAUAUAUAUAUAUAGUCUUCCAUUUCACACUGUACUGGGUUGUCCUUGGUGAGUUCGACUAGUAUAUAAAUUUUUCUGAGAAACUCUUUCUUGCCCCACAUUCAAUCUUCAUUUUUGGAGAAAGGGACUUUGUGAGUGGUCUCCUGUAGUUGCUCUCAUGGCACAAUAUAGCAAAUUCACUGAGAGAGUGAGAGAAAGAGAGAUCAACCUCUUUACUAUUGACUUUGAAGGGAUGGAAGGCAAAUUUGACCAUGCCAGGAUUUGAACUCAGUGGGUAGAGCCAGAACCAAAACUUUCAGGCAUUCUACCCGACACUGGAACAACUCACCUACCAAUUUGCUUAAAUAUACAAAAAAAAAACAAACAAACACACACACACACACACAGGGUGGGCCAAAAGUCAAGCACAAAAUAAGUUCAGUACGCUCUGGAAUUGUCAAAAACAUGCUUCAAUUUUUCUAAAAUUGAAUAAAAUAAAUAAAAUUAUGAGGAAUACACACAUACUUGUACUUGAUGAACAAACUGAAUAAUAAUAAUAACAAUAAUAAUUCUUUUUACUAUUGGCACAAGGCCUGAUAUUCUGGGGGAGGGUUAAGUUGAUUACAUCAACCUUAGUGCUAUACUGGUACUUAUUUCAUUGAACCUGAAAGGAUGAAAGGUAAAGUUGUCCAGAAUUUGAACUCAGUGUGUAGUGAUGGGUGAAAUACCACUAAGCUUUUUGCCCAGCAUGCUAACAAUUCUGCCAUCCUGCUGUCAUGAUGAUGAUGAUAAUGUAAUAUAAAUUAAAUGUCAAAUGCUUUGAUUCAUGGCUUUUGGCCCACCCUCUGUGUAUGUAUGUAAAUGUAUAUAUAUAUAUAUAUAUAUAUAUAUAUGUAAAAGUAAAAAAAAUAUACAAACUGGGACAAGAACGUGAACUUCGAAAGUCAAGAACCGGAUCAUCUUCGCAAUUUCGGCUGAUUAAUCUUGAUUAUCUAUAUAUAUAUAUAUAUAUAUAUAUAUAGAUAUAUGCAACAGAUUUUCUCAUUUUGAAUUGCAUCUAACGCUCAAAAUUUGAAAAGCCUUAGUGAAAUCAGUUAUUAUGUUAGAGGGCAAAAAUCUUAUUUUGUGUAAUAUUGUAUAAUACUUUUGCUAUGAUAAUUCUAAUAUAUUCUUUAGCCUAGUAAAACAAAUCUGUGUUUUCUUCAUCUUAUUUCUUUGUAUAUAUAUAUAAAAUUUGCCUAUAUACUUGAGAGUGAGUGAGAGGUUUGGUGAAAGAACCCCCCACAAAGGACUCUCUCUCUCUCUCUCUCUCUCUAUAUAUAUAUAUAUAUAUAUAUAUAUAUACACAUACAUAUAUAUACACAUACAUACAUAUAUAUAUAUAUACACAUACAUACAUACAUACAUACAAACACACACACACAUAUCAGUUAUUUAUUGAAUAUUUAUUCCUUGUGAGAACAAAAAGCAAAAUCAACCCUGAUACGAUUUGAAACCAAAUCAUAAAAAGAUAUAACUCAAUAUGGCAAAAUAUUUAAUACAUAUGAUUAAGAAUAAAAUACUUGCUUUUCUGCCAGAGAAAUUCCUACCCUGCUUACCUGCGAAUCAAAAUUACAUAUAAAAUCUGAUGGUAUUGUACAAAAUUUAUUUCUAACCAAAGAAAUGGAGGAGGAGUAAGCUUAUGAAACUGGAAGGAAAAUUUACUAUUUUGUCUCCCCCUCCCCAUUGUUGAUCUCAAUUUUCUGAAUUUUUUGACUACUACUACUACUACUCACUUAAAAAAAAAAAAUUGUAAUUUUAGUAUCUGACUUCAUGGUUUAUUCUAUUUUAUUUAUUUUCUUUAAAAGAAAUGGAUUUGAAGAAAGAAUAUUUUAAUUUUUUUGUUUGAAAUGGGUAGGAGAAUGGGAGAAUGCUGUGUUUUUAAAAAUAAUUGCAAUGUCGAAGAGAAAUAACAAUAAUAUUUAUAAUAAUGGUAAUAAUUAGUUAGUGAAGUGUUGAAUAAUAAUCACAGUGAUUUUUAAAGCUACUGCUGAGAUAAUUUCAAUAAAUUUAUGUCGCUAUUCAAACUGCUGGCUUGAGAGAGAGGUGAUGCUGGUGCAGACAAGAGAGAAGUGAAUCUUGUAUUUCAGGGUAUUUUAUUUGAGAGCUUGUAUUAUUUCGCAAGUUCAAAUUCUGCGUAGGUUGACUUCGUUUUUUUUUUUUUUUUAUUAUUGAUAUAGGAUUAAUUAUAAAGAUAACUAUUACUUUCGAAAGAUUGAAUUAAAUGACUAUGAUUUUUCUAAAGUAGAAACAAUAUUAUUAUUAUUAUUGUUGUUAUUAUUAAGGUAGUGAGCUGGCAGCAUCGUUAGCACAUUGAAUGAAAUGCUUAGCAACAUUUCUCCCAGCUCUUUAUAUUCUGAGUUCAAAUUCCACUGAAGUUACCUUGCUUUUCAUCAUUUCACAGUUGAUAGUAUACGUACAAGUUGAGCAAUGGGAUUGAUGUAAUCAACUAACCCCCUUCCCUCAAAAUCUCUGGCUUUGAGCCUAUAAUAGAAAGUAUUAUUAUUAUUUUUAAGGUGAUAAGUGGGUAGAAACAUUAGUAUUCUGAAGAGAAUGCUUUGUGGAAUAUUUUCUGGCUUAAUGUUCUGUGUUCAAAUGCUACCAGUUGAGCACCAGGCUUGAUGUUAACAACUAACCUCCCCUCUCACACCACCACCACCACUAAAAAAAAAAAUUGCUAGCCUUGUGUCAAAAUUAGAAACCAUGAUUAUUAUAAUUAUCUUUAUUAUUUGUCUUUUCAUACUUACAUGGUCAGUAGAACAAGUAUUGGGAAGGCAGGGAAGCAUCAAGUUUGACUUUACUCUUUCCCACUAAAAUUUGUCAUUAUUAUAUAUCCCCAGGUCAGCACUGAUAGAGCAGAGCUAUGAUCAAAGACAUCCCUACCAUGACCUUUACAGUUUCAUUUCAAAUAUUGUAUCUCCCUUUAUUUUUGCUAAGAAUAUGAUAGUGUUUUUUUUUUUUGCAUGCGUCUGUUUUUUUUUUAUAGAAAGAUUUGACUGCUAUUUCUAGCACUUUGUGUGACCACAUAGAUGCCAUUUACUAGCUAAAAACAAGAUUCUCGUUUUUGGUAUCAGUUGGAUGGAUCUGCAAUAUAACAGCUUCCAAUGCAUUGAAAUUCUGCGUCAUCACUCUGGCAUGGCCUACCUCUUUACAAAAGCUGGUGUUGUGCUGAGUUGAAGCAAAAUCAUUAUUCAAGAUGGUUGCCUACUAGACCUGAUGUCAUGAUUAUUAGCUCCCACACUUCCUAGUAUAUGUAAUAUAUAUAAAGCCAAGUUUCAACUGGCUAGCUAGGUAGGUAGCUAAAACUGACUAACCGAUCAAAAUUUCUCUGCUAAUAUGGCCAUUAGCUAUGUUUUAUAUAGAUUAAUUUUAGUUGUAUUGAUUUUCAUUUUUUUCCUUAUUUUGUUCAUAAAAACCUCAAAUUAUGUAUUAGACCUCAUUUGACUAACAAGUCUGGCUUUGGAUAAACAAAUCCCUGCUGCAGAUUUUACAAACAUUUUCAGACAGAAAAGUAUCUGAGAUUGAAAUUAAGACCUGUUUAUGAAGUGCUUAUUUUAAGUGGGAUUGUAGAACACUACUUUCCAAACCAAUUGAUCUUCCAUCAACCUCUCUGUCUUCAACACUUACAUUAAGAACCUUAAAGUUGCUUUUGAUGGCAACCCUAAAACGUUUCUUUGGUUUAUGACUUGGAUGUUUACUAUGUUGCAACUCGCUGUAAAACAACUGCUUAGGUAACCUGUCAUCCUGCAUUCUAGUCAUCCCAGUUCAACACAUAUGAUUGUGUAUGAGGAACAUUUCAGUACUGUGUGUGUGUGUGUGUGUACAGAUGCAGACGUGGUUGUGUGAUAAGAAGUUAGCUUUCCAAAUUCAUGGUUCUGGGUUUAGUCCUAUAGUAUGGCACCUUGGACAAGUGUCUUCUAUAGCCCCUGGCUGAACCAAAGCCUUGACAUGAUUUGUUAGAUGCAAACUGAAAGAAACUCAUGUGUAUGUGUGUGCAUAUUUGUGUGUUUGUGUUUGUCCCUCCACCAACAGUUGACUACUGGUAUUAGUUUGUUUACAUCCCCAUAAGUUAACGGUUUGGCAUACAAGACUGAUAGAGUAAGUACCAGGCUUAAAAAAAAAUAAGUAAUGGAGUUGCUCUAUUCAACUAAUCCCUGACAAGACAUUGCCUGGGCCUGAAUGCAAUGACUGAAACAAAUAAAAGAUAAAAGAUAUUCAUUAAAGCGACUAUACCUGUGCAGAUUUAUGUACAUUGAAUCUAUGAGGUCAAUACAGUAAUCCCUCGACUAUUUCAAGUGUUACAUUCGAAGACCCCACCGCAAUAGAUGAAAAUCCGCAAAGUAGAAACAGUCCUGUACUGCGUAUUUUCUAAAAUCAUUUUUAUAAUUUGUAUAUAUUUAUUUUACUAUAGAUGUAAAACACCACCACGGAGGAAUCGACGUAAGCUUAAAUAAUAAACUGCGAUAUGGCGAAGGAUUACUGUAUAUUGUUAAUCUAUUCAUUUAAAAUAUAUAAGUAUAUUUAUAGUGGUAGUAUUCUUUAACAAGUUGCAAGUCAGUGACCUCUGUGAUUAUUUAAAGAGAGGGAUGAAAGCUCAAAUACAAGUGUAUCUUUGUUUCAUUUGAGAAUGUAAAUUGGUGCCUUAAGCCCUUUUUAGGCAUAACUGAUUUAUAGGGAUAACAUAAUGUUAAAGAAACUAAUAGUUACCUAUAUUAUUGUUUAAUGACAUUUGUGUGCAAUGGGAAGGAUAUAAUUUUUAUGUUUCAAGACAAACUUACUGCCUGAAAGGAAAUAAGUUUUUUCUUAAAGGACCCUACAUGAAACACCAUUCUUGAAAUUCAUGAAUUUGAAUGAGUUUGUGUACUAUAUGGAGGAGAUGAUAUUGAUGUUUCAUGUCAGGUCCUUUAAGAAAAAGCUUAUUUCCUUUCAGGCAGUAAGUUUGUCUUGAAACAUAAAAAUUAUAUCCUUCCCAUAGUACACAAAUGUCAUUAAACAAUAAUAUAGGUAACUAUUAGUUUCUUUAACUCUUUAGCAUUCACAGUAUUCUGUCAAAUAUAAUGUUUAUAUAAACAAAUUGUUCUAAAUUAAUCAUUGUAGCAUUGCAAUUUCGAUGAUGUGAUUGUUUAUUCUUAGAAUGUCAUUCUGUGGUAGGUUUGUUAGGCCAGAUCAGGACAGUUUGAAUAUAAAAUAGGUAGAAUAUUUGGGCUGGAUAUGGCUGGUUUAAAUGCUAAAGGGUUAAUAUUUUUAUUUAUAGUUUGAGAUUAUAUCAAUAGUAGUCGAAGUUUGAGGGAGAAAGAGGAUGAGGUUCAAAUCUUUGCAUUUUGGUGUGUAAGGAAGCAUUGGUAGUCUCAGCUGUAGGAAGGAUUGGUAGUAGUAGAAGUGAUGGGGGGAAAUUUUCACAUUUUGGUCAGUGUCACUAAUUUUUUCUUCACACGAAACAUACUAUCUGAUGUUUUAUUUUUCAGUCUUGUCCCUCAAUUCAGUCCCUUCUACCACUUAUAUUAUGGCCUUCAAACUUCAAGGGUAUGCCUUGGCACUUGCCACCAGCUAUAUUUCUCUCUUCCUUUACUCAACCAUCUUAUUGAUAUUCUGAUACCUGUCUCUUACGAGUAUGCUUGGCACUUUACCACCAUUUCUAUCCUACUAUCUCCCUCCAUCUCUCUCUCUCCCCCCUCUCUCCCUCUCUCUCUUUCUGCACUUUCCUUAGGUUGGGUAACCAUGUAUCACCUUUGCGGCAGCACACCUGUGUCUGUCUUCAUUCCUGGUCUCUCUCCGGCCAGGUAACCUUGUACCUCCUCUAAAGCAAGACACCUGUUUCUGUCUCUCUGUCUCACUAUAACCUUCCGUCAUCUGACACAAGAUCACCUCCUCCAAUGCCCCCUUUCCUCUCAAAAGAUUUUUGUUUUGCAAGUUACUUGAUGACCCUGUCAGUACAGGUGCCACUUAAAAAGCAUCCAGUUGACACUGUAAUUGGUUGGCAUUUCGAAAGGCAUACAGCUGUAAAAACCUUGCCAAAACUGAGCUUGCCUGUGCUUGUGCCACAUAAAAAGCACUAAGUCCACUUUACUGAGUGGUAGGUGUUAGGAAGGGCAUCUAGCUGUAAAAAUCCUGCCAAAACAGUCACAGAAGCUUGGUGCAGGCUUCUGCCUGGCUGGUUUCUGUCAAACUGUCCCAUCCAUGCCAGCAAGGAAGGCAGACAUUAAAUGAUAAUGAUUAUAUAUAUAAAGUGGUUAUUUAUUUUGUUGAGUCCCAAUAGGAAUAAAAUGCAUAGUCAACCUUGGCUGGUUUUGAAACCAGAGAUAUUAUUCAAUAAUGCAAAAACAUCUUCCCAACACCCAUCCCUCCAUCACUCUUCUCACUAUGGCACUACUUACUCAAGUGCUGUAUUUAUAUGCUCCAUUUCUGUGCUGUCAGAGUGGAAACAAGUGACACUGCUUGCAUGUGACAGUAACACUCGUUUACAACUAUCAUGCAAUGUUGAGAGGGGGAAAGACACACACACAAAAGCUGCUUUCAGUUUCAGUUUCCUUUUACCAAAUCCAUUUGUAGGACUUUGGUCAACCCAUGGAUAUAGUAGAAGAUACAUGCUCAAGGUGUCACACAGUGGGACUGAAUCUAGAAGCAUGUGGUUUGGAAGUAAACUUCUUACUACACAGCCAUGUAUUCUUAUAAAUAAUUAAUUUUGUUUCAUGAAACCAAUCUUUGCCAAUGCAUACACUCACAUAGAAAACAAGAGGAUUGUUUCCUACAAUUCAAACGACAACACUACACCUAUCUCUUUUCUUCAUAAUCAAACAAAAAGUAAAAGUCCUGCAAAAAUUCUUAACUCCUCACCACAAGUGAACUUAUCAAACUCUAUGAACAUUUUUUUCUAUGGUUAGUACUAGAAAGAGGAUUUUAUUGUUUGAAGAACAAACACAUCACACACAAAGUAAAUAAAUAUAUAAAUGAAAGUAAUGUUGAAUUAUCCAUUGCUUUUGUUGUUGUUGGUGGUGAUGAUGAUGAUGAUGGUGAUUGAAAUGGCAACAUUGAAGGUUGUUGGUGAGAGCAUAUAACAACAAUGAUGACAUGUGAGAAAUAAUGUUGCUCUCCUUCUUCUGUUCUUUGAUUUGUUGUUAUAAAAGCUUUAUUGGCUGUUUUUCAAUUGAUUGAUGCUAUAGUUAUGUUUGUCUUUUUGUCUACCAACACAUGAUUCUGAGUCUGUUACAUUAUACACAAGUAGUUUAAAGUUGUUUGUACAUUUGUCUAUCUCGUAAUUUGAAACACUGCUGAUCAAGUAUACCCAUGGACAUGCUAUAUAUUGUCUUUUUCAAUAGUGAAGUUGCUCUUUCUUUUACUUAAAGAGCCACAAAUUUAUCAUGAAUUUUAGAGGAUGAUGGUUACAGUUUUCAUCAGCCAAUUUUAUCUCCAGAGCAAUAUUUAACUUAACUAUAUCUCCAUACUGCAAAAGUUGAAAAAAAAAAAGAAAAAAAUUACAAGCUAUAAGUGAUCAAUAAGAUCAAUAUAUUCCUAAGGCACUAACAAAACAUCUUGGUAAACUAUGUGAAGGUGCUGAGACGUACUUUUUGUGCUUAUCUUUUCAAAAUAUUUGAGUUGAAAUUGCACUUUUAGUGUUGAAGAAUCUUUGACAAUGGGAUAUGCAGUAGUUGGCCAAAUGAAAUAACUAUGAUCCACAGAUCCAAGGCACUGAUUAUCCUAUAUGGGAAAAUUUCUGGCUUGAUCUAGCAAGUGCAGCCAAGUCUUCCUCAGAUAUCACUCUACUAUCUGAACAGAGUAUAACAGAAUAGCUAAUUCCUAGAUUUAAUAAAUUAGCAAAGGUGGUGAUAGGUAUGAGGUAUGACUGGAAUGUUGAUGAGGUGAUAAUGCUAGUUAUAGAAAACAAUAAUUGUAUAUAGAACAAAAGUGGCUAUGAGGUUAAGAAGUUUGCUUUGGAACCAUGUGCUUCUGAGUUAAAUCCAACUAUGUUGCAACUUGGCCAAGUUUUUUCUCCAUCCAUCCAUCUACACAAUGGGACUGAACCUGUAAACUUGAGAUUGGGAAGCUAACUUCUUAACCACACAGCCACAUGUGUGCUUUAGUCCUUUAGCAUUCAGAUUUCUCUGUCAGAUGUAUAGCUUAUUUAUUUACUUUGUUUUGAAUUAAUCAUGUAUUAGCUCAUAACUUAGAGAUUUCAAUGAUAUGAUUGUAUAUUGUAACAUAGCAGUUUGGCAGAAGAGAUUGAUAGGAAAAAAAAAAAGUACUGGUGUUGAUUCAUUUCACUAAAAAAUUCUCUGAGGCAGUGCCAUAGCAUUGCCGCAGUCUAAGGACUGAAACAAGUAAAAAUAUAAUAAUUAAAAAAAAAGGAUAUAGUUGACUCAGGAAUAGAUAAAACUUGAGAUGCUAGGCUAUUUACUUUAGAAUAGCUAUUGUGUUGUACAGUAUCUGGUUAUGGUUUGCAAAUAAUAAUGAAUAAUAAAUAAAAUGGAAUAACUACCACUCCCAUCUUAUGGUUGGGUGGCUAACUGUGAAAGAAACUGAAAAUUUGUCAAAAGACCUUUCUAACUGUUGUGAUUUGUAUAAGUGACUGUAAACUACCUAUAAAAUAUUAAAUAAAUAAUAAUAAAAAAACUGCUUUUAAUUAAUAAAACUAUCCAAGCAGUUAAAAUACCAAUGAAGUCUAGGUAGAAUCCACUAUAAAAUAUUUUGGUUUUAUUUACUUCAUAUCACAUUAUGUAAACAAUAGGAUCGUUAAUUGCAGAUCUUCAGUGGACUAAUCACUGGUUCACUUCAUUUAAGAUGGCUAAAGUGACAAGGGAGCGACUUUGCAACUCAGUGCUGAACAAAUACUGCAAGGUAUUUUUGUUUGAAACCCUUUGCUUUCUUGCCAAUAAAUAUUAACAAGAGAGAGAGAGAGAGAGAGAGAGACAUGCACACACAUGGCGGUUUUUCACACAUUUUCUAUCUACCAAAUAACAUGGUAAAAGAAAACUGCUUAAGGUGCAGCUGAGUGAGAUUGGACCCAGAACCAGGUGGUUGUGAUGUGAACUCCUAAAGCCAUAUAGACAUUCUGCUUUACUAUAAUGGUUGUUGAUAAUGUCACAAGGAGUAAUGCAAUUUUAACUUUAUAUCCACAUUUAAAAUCAGAUAACAGUACGUCUUAUCACAUUUUAUAAAAGAUUAGUGCAACGAAAACUGAAAACAAAACAAAAAAUAAAUCAAAAUCUCUUGUUAUAUUUGUGUUUGGCUGUCAUUCUCAUCCUAUCAUCAUCAUCAUCAUCACUUAAUAUCUGUCUUCCAUGCUGGUAUAGUUCAGAUGGUUCAACAGGAUCUGAUGAGCUGGAGGAUUGCAUUGAGCUCCAAUGUCAACUUUGGUAUGUAUGGUUUCUAUUGCUGGAUGCCUUUCAGAACACCAACCACUUUGCAGAGUGUACUGGUUGCUUUUUUCAUGGCACUGGCCCUUGUGAAGUUGCUAAGUAAUGUUCAAGACAUGCCCACUUGACUAAGUGGAAGUAUAGUUGAAAGGGAAGUGGUUUUAUGCUGGAUGUUGGAUGUUUUAUGCUGAAUGUAUGACAGAGAAAACAGGUAUCUUACUGUGGAGACUCACACACACACAUUCACACAUCACACUACACUACACUACACACACACACACACACGUGCGCGCGCGACAGACUUCUUCCAGUUUCCACCUGCUAAAUCUACCCACAAAGCUUUGGUCAGGCAACCUGGGGUUGCCUGAAGUCACUUGCCCAAAGUGCUUUGUAGGGGGGCUAAAAUAUAUUAAUAUAUAUAAAAUUCAUAAGAAUUUGAUAAACCUCAAGAAAAUAUGGUUCUUGAAGCAAAUAAAGCUAUAAAUAACAUUUACAUGCUAUUAUACAUGCUAUUAUUUAUAGCUUUUAUUUCAAGAUUCAACUUUCCAAUAUAUAUAUAUAUAUAUAAAAUCUUGCUGAUCCUGCCAAAUACAAACUAACCAGCUAUUCUCACUGUAGAUAUCUCAAAAGUGAUAGAAAUGAUUUCAGACAGAGCAGGUGAUGAUGGUUGUUGUUGUAUAGGCCAAGGCCAGUGAAGUAGAUCUCUGUUCAGAGGGAUUCUUGCUACAGUAUUCUUGUCUUUAUUUUUUUCUAUUUUAGUGAUUAACUAUAUUAUUCAAUCUCUGUAUUUAUAAAUCAGUUAAGAUGUAAUUUGUGAGAGAUUUCACUUCUAUUUCUAGCUGGUCAAGUAGCUGUCAGUCUCAUUGGUUCAUGAUGACAGUGAUGGUAGUGGUGAUAAUAAUCAUGAUAAUAUAGAAGAAUAUAAAAUGUUUCUGUAUGAAUGAAACUUACUGGCAAGAAAAAUAAUUUUCGCUGAAAGAUAGACGGACAUACAGACAGAAUAUAACAGUGUCAAUUGAAUAGUUGGAAAGAUAUUUUUUAAAUAUGUUCUGUGACAUUGUGGAAAGUGAACUGGUCAUUAUCUCAUGGGGGAAAUAAUUUCUAUAAAAGCAAAUUUAUAUGUUAAAAUUGAACUAAGUUGUUCAGCUGUGUUCUUCUGUAAUUGAAUAUUUGAAGGUUUUAAAAGCCAUUAUGUAUAUUUAAAAAAAUGGUUUGUAGGAAUCAAAACUGUGUUAAUAUUACUUCUCAAAGAAUUCUAUAUCCAAUUGCUUUGAAUAUUCCUUUCUUUCUUAAGUGCUGGGAUUCCAGUGUUUCUCCCUCCUGACUUUGGCAAGCUAAAUGAUAGUAGCUGGUGGUCGGGGACUAUAUUGUGCCUUCUUGGGUGGUAUUUGAAUAGGAGUGUGUAGGAGGCAAAAACGUUAUUCUCCAGAGAGAAAAAUUUCAUUGAAUGAGAACUAAAAAAAAAAAAAAAAGAAAUCCAAUCUGACAAAUUUUGAUGUUAUUCCUUAUUUGCUCAGUAAUUGAGGCAGGUCAAUAGAGUUCAGGUGUCAUUAACCAAAUGAAAUAUUAAUUGCUUCCUGUACAAUUCCAUUUCGUGCCUACCAGCCUCCACCUUUUCUCCUUUCUUUCAAAAUUGUCUACACUUAUUAAAUAUUUGCUUAUGAGUAGAAAAGAUGUAAUAGCUAAUAAUCUUUUCAUUCACUUCAAAUCCCACAAUUUAUUUGUAACUUAUAUAUAAAAUGUUAAUAUAAACACCCAUCAUUGCCUAGCAGAAAAUAGUUAAGAUAAAUAUAGUUUUUGUGAAUGUUUGGCAUAAGCUUUUUUUUUCUUCUUUUUUUCUGUUUAAAAAAAAAGAAAAAAAAUUGUCUGUUAUAACUUUAUCAGAGAAGGGAUGGACUGUGCUCAUGACUUUCAGAUUGGUGCCAAUAGCCAACCUGAAUAACUGCAGGUCACUGUCUGCAGGAAGGAAAUACAUAAACUUAAGGAAGGUGGUGGAUUGCCACUAGUAUUCUGAUCUGUUGGUUUCCAAUGAACUUUAAAAUCAUUCAAUCCCAGUUGGUGAUGUUAAACUUUGCAGAAUUUUAGGUAUUCUGACACCCCUCAUUUCUGCACAAAAAAAAAAAAAAUGUCUAUGGUAUGUCAGUAUAGAAGGGAUGUUCAGCAAGAAAGGAAUGGUAAUUUGAAGUAGGAUUCAAAUAUUUACACAAAUGAUUAAUUUUGGUUCCAGAUAUACUGCAUUAUGGUGCACAAACUCUGAACCUUUCCACUUGAGAGGUUCAGAUGACAUCCUAUUACUUUGCUGAGACUCCUGAUAAAUUUGAGAAUUUAGUUCAUUAAAUUCUGAGACAAAAAAAAAACAAAAAGAAACUGAAAAAUACUUUCUCCAAUUCCAACUGUGAUGUUUUAAUAGAUAAGUCUUGAAUUGUUUAUAAAUAAUGUUAGAAAUAUAACGGCACUCAUACAAUCUUUGUAAGUUUAGAGCAGUCAGAUCAUUACUUUAAGUGGAGUAAAAUGAGAUAAUUCCUAUGAGCUAAGAGUAACCUGAUAAUCCUUUUAAGUUGAGCACAUCUAGUUGAUUAGUUGAUAUUUAUUUGGUAGCGUCUAAGUAAUUCUGGUAAGAUAACAACUGCUGACUGCUAACGUAGUCUUUGGGUGUCUUUAGUGCCCCCGCCCACUGUAUUACAAGCAUUUAGGCCCCAUCUUCAGUUUAAAGUCAUGGCUACUGCUCUUCCUCCUUUGACCAAAAAAAAAAAAAAAAAAAAAUUCUCCUUAGAACAUUAAUCAUAGCUGUGUGAUUAAGAAGUUCACUAUGUGAUUUUGGAUUCAAUUCAACUAUGUUGUUAGCUGAAGUGUUUUCAAUCACAACCUCAUAUUGCCCAAAACUUAUGUUGAUGUUUGAUACAUAAAAACUGUGUUGAAGUGUGCUGGGGACCAUUCCUGUUCUUGUCUGGUUUAUCACCAUUGUCUGGCACUUGGGUGCUUUUAGCAGAGUCCACUCUGUUACAUUUAUGUCAAAUGUUUGCUUUGAGGAUAACUUCUUUCCCUUUCUUCUUUGCCCAAGUCCUGUAACAUGAAAAUUCACAUAUAUAUAUAUAUAUAUAUAUAUAUAUAUAUAGUUGUAUGCAAAAUGAGCAGCUCUGAAAUAUUUGGGCAUUACUAAGUUGCCAUCAGUUAUUCAACCCUUUAGCGUUCAGAAUCCCUGUCAAAUGCAAUUCUUAUUUAUUCACAUGAUUUUGAAUUAAUCAUGCGCAACCUUGUAGCUUCAAGAUUUUGAUGAAGUAAUUGCUUAUUUUUAUAAUAACAAUGUAGGGUAGAUGUAAAAGGCCAGAUUUGGUCAGUUCAAACAUAAAACAGGUGGAAUAUUUGGAUUGGACAUGGCUAGUUUAAAUACUGAAGAGUUAAGUCAGUUAACUUUAAGAUCUACAUUUAGAAUGGUUAAAUGUAGUAGUAACUACCAGCAGUUACUAAGUUGGGGAUGGUGGAAUGUUAACUUAUUGCCGGCAGCAUUUUAGGAAUAUAUAAUAACAGUGUAUAGUAGACACUACAUAUAUCUAUCAGUAAGUAUUAAUUAAGUGAAACAGUUGACUCAAUGCCAAUAGAAUCUAUAAUUAGAUUACCUGUAUCUAGUGGUCAAAGCAGGUAUUGCCAACCAACAGCUGAGGUCUGGAGAGGGUUUAUAAUUGUUGAUGUAUUUAUGUCAUAGUCUUACAGACUAAUUUGGUUUUAGUUGGGAUCAUAAUGUAUCAGAAUUAAUAUAUGUUGUCUUGUUGGUAACUGUCAUUGAAUGCUGAUGUUGUUUUGAAGUAAAUUUAGAGCACAAAGAUACCCAUUGAAAGAAACAUUUGUUCAUCAGUUCAACCAUGGCUUCCUGUCUUCAUUGUGGGAACAUGUCUUAAUAUUUAGUACCUAUGAAUGUGGUGAGCUGGCAGAAUUGUUAGCGCACUGGGCAAAAUGAUGAGCAACAUUUUGUCUGUCUUUAUGUCCUGAGUUCAAAUCCCACUGAGUUCAAGUUUGCCUUGCAUCCUUCCGUGGUUGAAAAUUUGAAACCAAUAUUUAGCACUAAUUAGCAAUGAAACUGUCUUCAGUAAACUUCUGUUCUCAAGAUGUAUUGCAAAUGUCUCAUCAUUUUCUCUCUCUCUCUCUCUCUCAAUGGUUCUGUGUCAUUACUCCAGCUCUUGUAUCACUGUCUCUCUACCAAAUGUCUUGUACCACUGUCUCUCUACCAAAUGUCUUGUACCACUGUCUCACUAAAGUUGGAAAUAAAUUAUGCCUUAAGUUCAGUGACGGAUGUGCUGUUCUAAAAUUUAACAAAGGCAUCCACAUUUCUCAAUGAUUUAAGUCUUUCAUGUUUGCAACUAUUGGCAUAUCUUUACUCUCCAUAAGUGCAACUCUCUUUCUGUCAAUUUUUUAUGAUAUACAUUAAUUUGUGAGCUAGUGAGGAAGCCUCUAUGUAGUUGCUCCAUUGCUAGGAACAGUAAUCAGUUUUUCCUUAAAACCACACUCUACUAUCUUAAAAAGAAAUAUUAAAUAUCUAAAGUAUGCUAUUCCUAAAAAGAAAAAGAUGGUAUGUCAUAGCUGGAAUGGCUUUGAUCGUAGGUCUGCUCAGUCAAGACUGACCUGGGGCUAAACAGCAAACUAUACAAUUCCAUCCUGAACAAUAACAGCAUUGAACUCCAUAGUGUAUGAAGGCCUGCCAAGACCAUGGGUAGUGCUACUCUUCCUUGGACUGAAUAAUAAUCAAUUAAACAAAAACAACUAAUCUAAAUGCUGUUUAGAAUAUGUUAUCUGUCUUCAGUGCCCCCUUUCACUGAAUGUUUAUUUAAAAAACACAUCCUCUCCCUAUGUCUUGCAUAGAUAAAAAAACAACCCCCAAAAAACCUCCUUCCCAGAAGUUAAUUUUGCACUGUAGUUUAUUGUCCACAUUUUCUUAUAGUACAUAUCAUCCAGCACGUUCUCCUUUUUAGAUAUUUGUAUGGACUGUGUUAAGUAUAUUAUACUGGAUUUUGGUACAUCAUCAGUCAUGUUUCUGCUCAGGCACAGACAUGACUGUGGUAUUAGAAGUUUACUUCCUAACCAGAUGGUCUUCAGUUCAGUCCUACUGUGUGGCAUCUUGGACAAGUGUCUUCUGCUAUAGCCCCAGGUUGACUAAAGCCUUUUGAGUGGAUUUGAUAGAUGGAAACUGAAGGAAGUCUGUUGUAUGUAUAUGUAUAGGUUGCAUGUGUUACUGUCUCCUUGCUUUGAUUUCAUAUGAUUGUUGUAAAUGAACAUUAGCGUUAUGCAAGUGAUUGCCUUCAUUUCCAGUCUUCUGUGAAAACAUAUAUAUUCAGGUAUAAAAUCUUAUUUACAUAUUGUGGUCUGUAUUAGCUACCAGUUGCUGACAGUGUCAUUGAAAAGUCAUUUGCAAUAUAUUCUAUUGUUACAGAAGCUAUAUAAUUCACACUGUACUGCAUGCCAUCAUUACACUGCACUGUAGGCAAUUUAGGGCACAAAGAGGUUAACUAAAACAUCAAGAAGCGGGUUUGUAAUCUGUAAAGAUUAGUGGCUGUUAUUUAAAAAACAUAUCCCCUGUAUGUUUAAACAAACUAGAAAUUAUGUUUCUGUGUAUAUAUGGCUAGACUUGCAUGUGUGUGCGCACUCAUACACACACGCGAACACAUUCUUCUGAGUAAACAAAAUGAAAAUUAUGUCAUUCUUUUACUUUUGCGACUGUGUCUUUUGUUGUCAAAGCACUGACUAAUUACAAAAAUGUGAAGUGCUUAGAAAUAUAUAGGUCACAAACAAGACAUGGAAUCUACUUCAAAAAGUACCUGUUAGAAAAUAAAAAUAACAACAACAAGAAUAACAAAUGAAAUAUGAAAUAAAAAUAUAAAUGCUGUAUUGCUAAAACCCUUCUAAAACUUAUUUCUUCAUACAAAUUGUCGAUUAUUGGUUUAGUGUAGAUCAGCAUUUGUCAAAUUGGGAUGUUAAAAUUAAUUUCCAUGCGGGCUGGGGAUUCAAAUGAAACUUUACCUGCCUUUGAAUGCCACUUUAGAAAAUUUAGAGCAAGGUGCUUGCUAUUUCAGUUUGUCAUCAAACAAGGGUGUCGGACUAACAAAACGGUUGGGAGACAAAGUUGUAGGUCAGUCACUGGUUCACUAUUGGCCAAUCACUGCUUCACUAAACAGCCAAUCAUUGGUUCACUUUAGGCUAAUUCCUGAUUUGCUGUAGGCCAGUCACUAGUUCACUGUACACUAGUCACCAGUUCACUUCAUUUUAAUACUCAGAUGUGGAUUGGUGCAGACAUAGCUGUGUGAUAAGACAUUUGCUUCCCAACUACAUGGUUCCGGGUUCCAUUCCACUGCAUGACAUGUUGGGUGAACGUCUUCUGUGUGUGUGUGUGCGUGUGUGUGUGUGUGUAUAUAUACUGUCCAAUUUUAUAAUGCAUCAUCCUAAUUAUAUGUGCAGGUGUGGCCAUGUAGCAAGAAGCUUACUUGUCAACCACACGGUUCUGGGUUCAGACUCACUGCAUGACACCUCCCACUAUGGUUUUGGGGCUGACCAAAACUUUUUGAGUGGAUUUGGUAGAUGGAAACUGAAGGAAGUCUGUUGUGUGUGUGUGUGUGUUGUGGAAAUUAUAUAUAUGUGUGACAACUUGUGUUGGUGUGUUUAUGUCCCUGUAACUUAGCAGUUCAGCCAAAGGGAUUGAGAGAAUAAGUACCAGGCUGGAAAAAAUUAGUAUUGGGAUCUAUUCAUUUGACUUAAAAUUUCUUCAAGGCAGUGCCCCAGCAUGAGUGCAGUUAAAUGGCUGAAACAAAUAAAAGAAAAAAGAUAAGAGAUAAUACUAAUUAAUUAUGUUAAUUAGUAUAAGAUCUGUUUAACAUUGUUACUUUCAGUUUACUCAACUUUAGUGUAGUACUGGUAUUAACAUUUUAUUAACUUCAGAGAAACACAAAGCCAGCAUUGGUUGUGUUUGGACCAUAGAACCUUGAGGUAAAAUACUCAAAAAGAUGCCAACUUGGCUCUGUCUCUCAUCUAUGUCAUCUCCUCCCAUGCAGUGAGAGAGCUUGCUUGUAAUUGCCCAACAAAUUAUAAAUAAUAACCAAGUCUCCUUCAAAUCACACUGUAGAAUAUAUUAAGUAAUGUAGUCUUUGAUAUCCUUAAAAAAAAAAAGACAGGAUGAUCACAGCAGGAGGGGCUCUUAUUUUCAAUCUACUUGAUCAACACUAACUUCUGGCUAAAUAGUACCAAUAACAACAACUCUACUGCUCUUUAUCUAGUCCUAAACUGGACUGUAUUCAGCCUAUUGCAUAUGGCUAAUUUGUUUGGUGUUCAUCAUCCUUUGUUUGGUGUUUCAGGGGUUGCCCUUAACAAAUAUGGACUAUAGCCAUCCUCUUCAAACAUGUGGUCUUUUAUUUUAAAUUCAAUGUUGAGAUUGUUGUUUUCUUUCACUUAUUUUCUCUCUCCUCUACUCGCUUCUCCUCAACUCACUUCUCUCUGCCACUCAACUCACUUCACCUCUUUUCCUCAUUCUCCUCUCCCCUUCUCCCAACACCCUCCUUAUGUGAUUAUAACGUUCUGUUGAUGGCGAUCAGCUAGUUUUAGUAUACUCUUAAGCUUUCCUGAGUAAACAAUGGUGCCAAGUAGAGACAAUAUGUUAUGUAAAAGCCAGGUAUUGGACAUUCCUUUCUCAUCUGUAAGACUGAUUGGUAAAUAACUCUGUUUCAUACUUGCUGUUUAAUAUUCAGGUGUGUGUAUUGUCUUUGGCUCUUUCUCUCUAUACCUAUCUUAUUUGUUAUCUUUUACUUGUUUCAGUCAUUAGACUGCAACCAUAUUAGGGCACUGUCUCGAAAUUUUAGUCAAAUGAAUUGACCCAAGUAAUUUUAUUUUAAGCCUGGCACUUAUUCUAUCAAUCUCUUAUAUUAAACUGCUAAGUUACGGGGAUGUAAACAUACCAACAGUGGUUGUCAAGCAGUGGUGGGACAUACACUUCUUUCAGUUUCCGUCUACCAAAUCCUCUCUCAAGGCUUUGGUUGGCCUGAGGCUAUAGUAGAAGACACUUGCCCAAGGUACCAUACAGUAGGAGUGAACCCAGAACUAUGUGGUUGGGAAACAAGCUUUUUACCACACAGCCAUGAGUGUGUAUAACACUGAUUUGACUUGUUUUGUUUUCUUGUUUGAGACUAAUGUUUUAUCUCAUAAUUAUCUUUGUAGUUGAAAGAAAUCAUUAUUAUAAAUUGUGUAAAACUGAUAAUUCAUAUGAGUUAAGGGCUAAACUCUUAUAAGUUGAGAGCAAUUAUAUCAUCCUAUUAAAUUUGGAGCGCCUAGAUCAGUGCAUUUUUUUAAAUGCUGUUGCUUAUCUUUUAGUAAUGUCUUUUCAAUGCUCACCUCUCCAACACCUUUGCUACAAUUCAACCUAUCUCAUUUCCAAUGUUCAUAUAUGUAGUAUCAAGCAUUUGUAAUUUAGUUCCAGGUAACAGUUUGAUGUAGGUGACUACUUACCACAGUACCAUCCUACUAUAAGUAAAUAUUUGACACAUCUCCAUUAAAUUUAAGGUAUUCACCCAACCUUUAGCACACGGCUUCAACCAAUAUCAUGUAUGCUUUCUACAUUCUUCAUAUUCACCCUUGUAGCUACAAGUUGAAAUUUAUCUUUAUAAUUUUAGUUUAUAGUCGUAUUUUCUGUAUGAUCACAUACACGUAUAUUAAUUUCUCUGCUUGCCUCUGAGUUUACACAUCCAUUUAUAGCUGUACUAAUAGGGCCUGUACACAUAUAUUAGGGCAUUACUUCAUGCUCCAAGUACAGUGGUCACCUUUAUUGCAUGUAUGAAAAUACCCACAAAUGUCUUUUAAAUUAUACUUUAGUUUAUUGUUUAUAAUUUAGAUACAUAGGUGCAUAUAUUCGGUUUUGUUUACCUGUUUAUUCAUGUUUCUAAGCCUAUCAUUAUUGUUGAUGUUGUUGUGAUUGUAGAUUACAAGCUGUUUAUCACAACAUUACAUUGAUUUUCUGUAGGAAGACAAAAAAAUCUGUACAGAUGCAUCUAUUACCCUUCUAUUUUCUCCUUUGUCUCCAAGAGGCUGCACCAAAUGCAAAAAAAAAAAUCCAGUAUGGUUUAAUUUAAGGAAGUAGUGGCUAUUUCUAGCAGAUCAAAUGGCUACAUAGUCUCCUUCCUUGGUUCACCUUCAUUGGUGACAAUGCUCGAAGAGUAAAAGCAGAAUUAUUAUCUGCCAGGUUAUUCUUACUUUAAUAUCCUUCACUGAUUGGAUAUUUUUGUAUAAAGCUGCUAGAUUUCACUUGUUCAUGGAUUUUGAAUGGAUUUUCUGUCAAAUCUAAUAUGUUUAGUCUAUGUUGUUGUUUACUGUUGCCCUGUGAUGCUUUACAAUACAACACCCUUCUUCAGACAUUCAACACUGUGUGGGAAAGUCCAUCAUAAAGUAUUUUUAAGUCACUAUUUUAUAUUUGUGAAGGUAGAUUAUGGUUUCCAUUUGCCUUUUGCAUUUAUUUGUUGUUCUAUAAGGCAACAUGUGUGUGUAAUUGUUUUAUGAUUUUAUGGCCAUAUUUCCAUGAUGGUAUUUUUGGUAGGCAUUUUGAGGCAGUGUUUUAUGACUGGAUACCUCUUCUGGUGCCAGCCCUUUUACACACCCUUUAUAAGAUCCUGACUAAAAACUGAUAUAUAUAUAUAUAUAUCCUACACUUCAGACUUCCUCAUGUUCCUUUCUGUUGAAGAGCAUUGGCUUGAAAUGUAAAAGACUUUCUCACUUUCCUGAGCAUCAAACAAAUACACUUGCUUGUUAUUUAUACACCUGUCUUCGUCUUUUGCUUUCCUGUAAAUUUCAAUUUUACCUAAGUAAAGUCAUUAAUGGCAAAACCGGUCUACGAUUAAUUCUUUAUUUUGUAUAUUUUCAUCUGUCUUACCUGCCUAUGUUCUGGUGUUUGCUGAAUUUUUCUAGAGAACAUUCUUUUCUUUGUGGUUAGAUCGUAGGUGAUCUACUUCUAGCACAUUGGAUGUCCACUUAGUUGUCAUCCCUUCUUAUACGCAUAUAUAUAUAUAUACUAGCAGCAUAGCCCGGCGUUGCCCGGGUAUGUAAGAGCCCCUAGUAGGCAACGACUAAUCCCAAUGUAGUCCUUUGCCUCCAGGGAACGAAGGUGCAUGUGGACGUUGCAAUGUCUUGUCUUCACUGGAAUACUUCUGUAUAUACGAUGUUCCUAGCUGUCCGUUGGGGCGAAAACAUGAAAACAUCAUUGCGCCUCCCAACGCGUGAACAGCCCACGUAGAGUUGACCUUGGGCGAAGCACUGUUCGCCCAAAUGUAACCCAGCGACUUGUAGCGUUUGGCCUUGGGAUUUAUUGAUGGACAUUGCGAAGCAGAGUUUAACAGGAAACUGAGAACGCCUGAAGUGGAUUGGUAGGUCAGCGUCCGACGGUUGAAGGUGCAUCCGUGGAAUGAAGACGUCCUCUCCCUUCCCACAACCGGUAAGUAUUGUGGCCGUUAUUAAAUGUGGUGCCAAAUGUUUCACAACCAAACGUGUGCCGUUGCACUGUUUAGGUGGAACCAAAUUCCUGAUGAGCAUAAUGGGCGCACCGACUUUUAACUUCAGGAUGUGUGGUGGCAGGCCUGGCGGUUCAAGUGAAUUCAGGAAUUCAACAGGAUAAUCGGCAAGCUGGGCGGGGUCUGCUGUCCUAUCUAUAGAUUUGUAGACGUGGACAUCACCAGGAAUAGCUUCAAGUAGCUGGAUAUUGAUGGAGUUGACGGUUGUAUUUUUGGGUGCGAGAAUAGCUCUGCCUGCCAGCCAUUUUAGGUCGCGUAAAUUGUUUUGUAGGUCGUGGAAGACAGCGUCCCGGAGGCUAGCAGGGGUGUCGACAAUGGUGCAAAGUGAGUCCAAUUGAACGUAGCCAUCCGCAUCAGACAGCAUCCUAUUUUCACCGAGCGAUAAGAGGUCCCUGGAGAAUGCAGCGGAUCCGCUGUCACCAAUUAACUGCGCGCGCAUGUUAGUUUGGAGGUGCAAGGGCCGCACAUGUGCCCAAAGAGCUGACGACUUAAGGCACGCGCGCACGGCAUCGGCACGGGUUCCUUUUGGAAUAACAGGUAGAGUCUGCCUGAAGUCUCCUGAAAGAAGUAAAGUUAAUCCUCCCAUGGGGGCCGUAGAGUCUCUGAUGUCUUGCAGGGACCUGUCCAGUGCCUCAAGGGCGCCUUUGUGUGCCAUAGUGCACUCGUCCCAUACGAUGAGUUUGCAUCUGCGCAGAAUGUCGGCCUGUUCUGAGUUCUUGGCGAUGUUGCAGAUAGGUGACUCGGACUUUGCCAGAUCGAGCGGGAGUCUGAAGGCAGAGUGGGCGGUUCUGCCACCCGGAAGCAACGUGGCCGCGAUACCAGAGGAAGCUACAGCCAGGGCAAUGUCCGUGUUGCGUCUGACCUCUGCCAGAAUUAGUUUAGUGACGAAGGUUUUGCCAGUGCCGCCGGGUGCAUCAAGGAAGAAAAUCCCCCCACGUUGCUGUCUGACAGAGUCUACGAUGGUGUUGUAGGCUAUGCGCUGGUCUGGAAGCAGCCGUGGUUCAUUAUCUUGGACGUACUGGUGCAGUUCCUCAAUGCAGUAGGAAGUUUCGCGUAACAAUUCAGCAGACAUAACAUUGGCGUGUUCACGUGUGGGUGGUGGAAGGCCGUACUCUGUUAAAGCAGACCCACCCAUAUCGAUGACAGCGUCUUCGAGUUGAAUGAGCGCAAAAUUGUAAAUGAAGUUGGUGAACGUGAUCUCGGCGGAAGGGCAGUGUUGCUGAGCCGUACGUAAGAAGUCGUGCGACAUGUCAUCCCUGUAUUUCAUCCAGAGACUUAGUGGAUCACUAAGCUGACAUUUUUGAAGAAGGAUUGCGAAAAGAUGUCGUAGGGCCGAAUGCGUUUGCAGUAAAGCACCCUCUGCCAUCGUGGCGUCCCACUGGGAGUCAUCCUCUAGAAGGCCAAGUCUCAUACAUGCUUCCCUGAAGGUGUCGCACAUAACCCCAUUGACGGUACGUAUAUUGGCGAAACCUGUUGGACCAGUGACCUCAUGUAGAAGGAGACGGAGGUAGAAGCAUUCUUGCUGGUUUGGCGGGAUGUUGUAAACUCGACCCAGGCAGGAGUCAAACUUGACGCCUGGGAAGCUUUCGACGUUUUUGCCGGAUUUCCGUCGAACCCAGGUGUUUUUAGACCACACGAAGUACGAUGGGACCUGUGGGUACAAAAGCGUUCGAGCGAAGUCAUCACGUUGGCAUAAUUUGAAGAAACCAGUCAACGUUGUGUCUUUAGGGCUGGUGGCUAUCUGCACAGCACUUUGCUCUGUGAAGUAAAUCCGCUGUCCAUUUUCCAAGUGUACAGCAAGCUGCACCACAGCCGGGUGUCUCUGAUGGAGCGGGAAGCCGUAAAUGCGCCAAAACGCUUCGUUGCUGCUGAGGUACCGGCCAGCCAAGUAGUUGGACACUUCGUCGCGACUGGUGGUCCUCUGGAUGCUGAACAUGGCAGCAUCGCUGCCUUUGUUGAUAUAUUUGCAGACAUAUUGUAUUGACCUGAUGGAGCUGCAGAACUCAACGUUGACGUGGGCUUUGAAUAUCUUCGACAGGAGAGGACAGUAGGGGACAAUGUAGCUGUUGUCCACUUGAUGUCGCCCAACCGUAAUCGUGCGGCCUCCAUUGGCUGGACUCCUUCGUUUGUACAGCGGAUACCCAUCGCCGCCUGUUUGAGUCUCCAAAGUGAACCGUUUAGGGAAUCCCUUUGAGCAGGCUAAUCCGUUUUUGUAGCAUGGUGUGUUGGCGUAAUUUGGUCCACAGGGCCCGUGUACCAUGGUAGUGCGGACAAUUUCGUAGAGUCCGGGGUCCUCAUCGGGGUCAGGAAUCUCGGCGGAAAUGAAUUUGUCAAUGUCAUUAGUCUCGAUUUUAUGAGUGAGCCAAAUUAAGAUGUGAGCAUGUGGCAAGCCCCUCUUUUGCCACUCGACCGAAAACAUGUGGCACCUGACAUGCCUGAAAAUCUGACCCUUAACUAUCAAAUCCUUCAUUUUGCCCAAAUUCAGACGGAAAACCCUAGCAACGAUGUCGUGUCGAUGGGUGUGAGAUUGACCCGGGAGGAGUUCGCGAGUGAUUUCGUCGCAGCUGGGAUUGCACGUGUAGGUGAUAAAGAGGUCCGGCCGGCCGUAAAUGCGCACGUAGAUCAAGGCGUCUUGGGUCCUUUCACGCAUAUAUCGCGGUCCUCCCGUGAAGGUGGAGGGUAGAAUGCAUGGCUUGCCGAUGUUGCGAGGGUCAUUUUCUUGUUGCAAACCGUCACAGAGAUGAAUGUAGGAGUCGGAGCGAAGUUUGGUCUGAUUAAGUUUAAUGUAUAGCAGCCUUUCCGAUUCCAUUUUUGCGGCCAUGUCGACGGCGAACUGGUUGAAUAGCUGACGACAACGGGCAAUAAGUUGAACUCACCCUCCCUGACCAUGAACCGGUAUAAGUAGAACGCCCUGCAGGAAACCGUCUUUGAUGCCGCAGUAGUUUGAUUGGAGGGCUGCCGUAAAGGAAUUCCGAAGUGGUAGCCGUCUUCCCCAUAAGGGAAAAGCAAUGGAUACUGAAGCGCGUCAUAAGAUCUGUGAGUCUCGCUGAUCCUGUGUAGGUUGUUACCACGGGAGGAGAUGAUUAUGUCACGGCUGUUGUGUUGCUCUCCGUGUAUAACUGCGGCAAUUUCGUUGCACGCAGGUGCGUUGAAACGGCGUUCGUGCUCCCCGUGGGGUCGUUUAUCAGCAUCAAUGACAACGGUGAAGUUUGGAGAUGGAGCACUGUCCAAGGCAUAUCUGAAGCUGCAGACGUAGCUGUUGAUAUCAUGAAGCAUGGUUUGGAGACGGAGAAGAAUGUCUUUGCGAGGAACAUAGCUUGUACCCGGUAUUAUUCCAAGGCGUGCAUCAACCUGGUGGUUGUAGUCGGCAAUGAAGUAUAUUUGGAGGAAAGAAGACUGCUGAAUCUCGUCUGGCAGAAGUGACCCAAUAAGAUGGUAGACCUGUCCCUGCACUUUGAAAGUAGGCAUCCAGCCUUCUCUGGGAGGAAUUUUGGCCCCGAAAGAGGUCAUUUGGAAUGAGCAGUUGUACUUUCGAAUUAUUUCAAGGAAUUGUGACGAAUCGGGGGUUAAACCCGCCGCGAGAUCCUUCAGUGGUUGAGGUGGUUCCCGUAGGGGUGGCAGGUCCACUUUGCCACCAGAGCAGCACAAACCAGGUGGCUCUCCGGGCCAUUUCUUGGCUUUGCAAAACUGGCAUACAAUUGUCAUUGACCCUAUCUUGAUGUCGUCACGCAAGGAGAAGUUAAUUGUGGCGUCGUAGUUGAAUGCUAGUGACAACCAGAAAGCGGGGGCAGGGGUACGUACACCACGAAUGAUAUCCCGACGUUUGUUGAUACUCUCAAGUCGAGUGCACCGUGCCUCAGCAGAUUCAGAUGCACGUGCGACAGCGGUAGCAGUGGCAUCCCUUGAAAGCCUUUCAGCUCUCGCCUCAGCACCCUCUGAAGCCCUAGCAGAAGCAGUGUUAAUGGCAUGUCUGGAUGUCCGAAUAGUCCGUUGGUGUGGAGUUUCGGCAGAUCGAGCCCUAGCUGUGUUUGCGGCGUUAGCAGCUUGGCGAGCUCUCCUCUGUUGAGGUGUUUCGGCAGCUUUGGCCAUGGCUUUGUUUGCGGCGUCAGCAUCUUGGCGAGUUCUCCUCUGCUGUGAGGUUUCGACAGAUCGUGUCCUGGCAGUGCUAGUGGCGUUAGCCGCAUUCCGAAUGGCCCUUUGUUCGGGGUUCUCGCAAGCUCUGCGGAUGGAAGCACAGUAAGAAGCCCGCAUUUUUUGGCUGGACUGUUGCUCUUUCGUCAACCUCGAGCGGAGGGAAGAUCUGUACGCUGCGACCCUUGCAAGUCGGGUAGAACGGUCGCUAGUAGUUUCAGAUGCCUGAGCAGCGGCAUAACGGCAAGCUGUUUGCGAUAGGCGCAAGGCGGUUUCCUCGUGGGUCUCGCGUGCCCUUCUAGCCCUAGCAGCCGAUGCCUUGGCCGUCCGAGGGCUGAGGAGGGUCCUUCUCUUCUUGGGUGGCAUUUUGGUGGAUAGCAAUGUGUUUGGCAAAGGUGUAAUAAAAAGGAACACGUGGGGUAAGUAUUUUGGUGGAUAGCAAUGUGUUUGGUAAAGGUGUAAUAAAAAGGAGCUCGUGGGGUAAGUAUCCGAAAAUGUAUAAAAAUGUACAAAAACGGCCAAAAAGCUGGCAGCAAUGUGAGUGACAACAACGAAAAAGUCAAAAGUGAUCAAACUGAACAAACGAAAGGAAAAGUUUUUUGAUGCACACGACAAAAGUGGUUUAUAAUAAACCAAGAGUUUGCAAGUAGCGUCCGAGGACCGUUAGGGUACGUCAAAAAUUGAAGGUAAAACGUUUGGGGUGGUAGUUAUAAAGAAAGUUUAAACCAAAAAAGUAUUCGAAUAACUUGCGGCUGCAGCAGCUAUUAGCAGAAGUGGCGGUGUUGGGGGUAAAGUCUCGAAUGUAAUUUCUUCCUGGUAGGAAUUGGUUGGAUCGAAUUAUCGAUAGCUAAAAAGGUCAAGUUGCGUCCCCUAGACAGUCUGGUUUGUGUUUAAUACACAAAUUUGUUUGCUAUGUGUGCCACAUAUGAUUAAAUUAACCGAUUUUUUCCAAUAAUGUAUCCUAUUGGAAUAAAAAGGGCUAUAUAGCUCCUUGGAGCAGACAUGAUGCUCGUUGUGAAAAAAAAAAAGAUUCCUGCCAAUUUGUGAAAGAUAUUGUCGAAAAUAUGUCAUCUUGAAUUUGAACGCGAUUUCCCAAAAUGGCAUGAUUUUAUCGAUUGUUUCUGAUGGUAAGGUAUUGCAUGGAAAACUAACGUCAGAAUUGAGUUUCUUAGGGUAACAUUAAGCUUCACCAUGAGUUUGGUGAAAAUCGAUUGCAAGUUGUGAAAACUACCAUAGAUAAUGCGUUGCAUAAAAAAAGCUUAGAUUCUCGAGUUGCGUCCCCUAGACAGUCUGUGGUUCAUGUUUAUGAUUCUCGACCCCAUGUCGAAUUUAUCAAUUUUCUCAGAACUGGGGGAACUUUUCAAAAUUUUCGCUGCGUUAGUUUUGAAUUAUGACAUUGGGCUAUGUGUGUGUCAAGUUUCAUCAGAAUCGGUUGAAAGCCGUGGUCAGGGUGAGGGUACGAGAAAACAGACACACAGAAGCACGCACAGACAAACUGCCGUUUAUAUAUAGAGAGAUAUAUAUAUAUAUAAACACACACACACACAAAGGUGUGUGGUGUAACUCUCUUUAAAUUUGUGCAGUGGUUUACCAGAGGUAUCCUUGUGGAUGCUAUCACACAAACAUAUAUAUAUAUAUAUAUAUAUAUAUAUAUAUAUAGGAUAGCUGUAUGUGAUAGAAUAGUGACUGUGAAGCUGGGUCAAAGAGGCUUUAGCAGUGGUAAUAACCAUUGAACACACUGUCUUUUCAUUGUCUUAUCUUUUUAUUAUUGUUUGGUUGAGAAGUUAAAAUGUUUACUUUGCAUGCAUAUGCCACACCUUGGAUAAGUUUCUUCUACCGUAGCUUCAAGUUGACCAAUACCUUGUAUGGAAGUCUGUACAGUCUCACAUGCACACAUGAAUGCAGCUGUGUGGUUAACAAACUUGCUUUGCAAUCAUGUGGUUUUCAGUUCAAUCCCACUGCAUAGCACCCUGAGUGGGUGCCUUCCCCUAUAGCCACAGGCUGACUAAUGCCUUGCAAGUGGAUUUGAUAGACGAAAACUGUGGAAGCUAUUUUACUAUUUAACAACAUGUAUUGGUCUGUUUACACCCCCAUAACUUAAUAGUUUGGGAAAAAAAGAUUGAUAGAAUAAGUACCAAACUUUAAAAAAUAUGCAUUUGGCCCAACUUAUUCAACUAAAUCCCUUAAGGUGGCGUCCCAACAUGGCCACACUCUAAUGACUAAAACGAUUAAAAAGAAUAGUAAAUACUUGAAACUUAAGACAUUUCCUUCUUUUCUGAGUGUCAACCUAGCACCAACUCUCUGUUUGUUUUUUCACCUUGUUUUUGAGCUGUCUUUUUUGCACCACACACACUCACACACACACAUGUAUGUAUCCCCUAAAAACCACAUGCAACUCAUUCCAGCAAUGGAGAGGUGUGCUUAUUUUCUUUUGUUAUUGUCUGAGUUUGUUAAUGGUAAUGGUUAGUAUUAUGUAUGUAUAUGUUGUUAGAAAUAUAUACAUAUAUCUUUUCUUUCCUGAUAGUGUAUACUGCCUUGCAUCUUGGGCAAGUGUCUUCUACUAUAUCAUCAGGCCAACUAAAGCCUUGUAAAUAGAUUUGGUAAUAGAAGCUAAAAGAUCACUCCCUCCCUCACUCAUUUCUUGACUUGACUUGCAUGAUGGUUACAAAUGAGUGAUGUUGCCAUACAAGAUAUGGAAGUCAUUUCCAAUCUUCUUUAAAAACAUGUCUGGUCAUGGGAAAAUAUUGUCCUGCUGGGAAACAGGUGUGGGUUGGUAACAGGAAGAGCAUCCACCUAUAGAAAAUUGUCCUCAACAAAUUCUAUAUGAUCCAUACAAGUGCACAUGUGUGUGUGUGUGUGGGGGGGGUUGCAGGCAUAAGAAAUUCACUUUUUAAUUAAUUGUUCUUAGAUUUAAUCCCACUGCAUGGUAUUUUGGUCGAAUGUCUUUUAUGUUACCUUUGGGUCAAUCCAAGUUUUGUAAGUGAAAUUAGAUGGAUGGAAGUUGGAGAUGUGUGUCAAAUGAAGCAUACAUGUAACCGAAAGGUCCCAUUUUGUCACACUGUGUUGUACUGAUGUUGCUUGACAAUUAUAGUUUGCUACACAUAUUCAUCAUGAUUUGUGUAUGUGUAGCUUGCAGCAAAAGAUUGGCAAGAAGAUUAUUGGGGGGAAGGGUGCUUUUGUAUACAAAUAUACUGUGGUUGUUUGUUUUGCUUGAGUGGCACAGACAAUCCCAUAUCAUAAUCAUUAUACAUGUCAUAAAGUCAUAAAUCAGUGAUUGGUCCAUUCUGUAGCCCAUAGCCUCUGUGGUUCACCAAAUACAAUUAAAAAGCAAAAAGAAAAGGCUUAACAGUUAAAUCAGGGGUUUUCAACCAUUUAUUAGCCUAUGGACACCUUUGUUUUACUCUGGUGGACCCCAUAGACAUUCGAUGUUUAAAAAUAGUUUUAUAGACACUUUUUUACAAAUGCAGAUUUUGUUUUUCACCUGUUCACUUGUGUAGGUUUGCAAUAGCACUCACUGAGAGAACAUGUUCCAGUGGAUAGAAACAUGUUGAACUAUGUAAAACACAAACACAUCUAAUAUAAAAGUUAUUCAUGGAUCCCCUAAAAUACUAUCGUAGAUCUUCAAUUUAUUACUUUGCUUGCUUGGACCUACAAAAAUCUUAUAUGGACCCCAGUUGAGAACCACUGAGUUAAAUUAAUAUUUUAAAGAAACAGAAUUAACAGAAGUUAGUGCUAGGAAUGUGAAGGGAACACAGAGAGCUUUUUUCCAGUAAUGCCAAUAAUAUAUUCUAAUAUUGUUGGGUAUGCUCCAGAUAAAUCCUUAUUAAACAGGCAUCAGACAAAGAACUAAGUGCAGUUGUUUUCAUAUUUUUAAGUGCUCAUUGAGAGAAGAAAAUAUAGCACUCAUUAAAAUGCUUCUUCUACAUUUUUACUGUGGGUGUGCACAGAAAUUUGUACUGCAUACAUAUUUUGUCUUUCUUUAUAAAGUGUGUGCGCAUUCAUGCAAGAAAUCAUUGCUCAGAUUUCUUCAAUUAAUCUGAUUUCAUCUUGCAAACUUUGUGUGCACACAUUUUUUGCCUUUCUUAGUUGUAAAAUGAGUAUAUGCACACAAGUACAUAGCUUAGAAGGACCAUUGCUUAUGGCCACAUAUAUUUACAGGGCAUUUGAGACUGAUGGGAUAAAGACAAAAGAACAAUCUUCAGCCAGAAGACCUGGUUCAAAUGCUUUCAAGAGAGUGAACUCUGCUAAAGGCACUCAAGGACCAGCUGGUGGGUUUAAAUGAGGUGAUGGAAUUAAAUCUACCACUCAAAAUUCAAGGUGCAAAGAACCAGCAUAAAUACUGUAUGGUAUCUUGUCCAGUGCUUUAACAAUUCCACCAAUCUAUCUACCUGGAUUGGCAUUUUAUUUUAUUGAUUCUGAAAGAAUGAAAACAAAUAUUAUGCAGUUGGAUUUGAACUUGGAAUGCAGAAAACCUGAAACAAAUUACAUAAUGUAUUUUGUUUUGUGCUUUAAUGACUCUGCCAAUUCACUGUUAUUCUUGGCAAACUGUUUCAUUAUUGCUGUUAAAUUAUUUAUUUUUUGUUAUUUUAUUUUCUUGGUAAUUUUUGUCUUUUUUCUUCUGGCUAUAAUAAAUUUUGAGGUAAAACAUUUGAUCAUGAGCAAGCUGGAUUGGUCAAUAACUAACAUUCUUUGCAUUCUCUCUCUCUUCAUUUCUGAUCCUCCUCCCCCCAUCUGGAAUUAAGUCUACCAUGCAAAAUUCAAGGUGCAAAGAGCCAGCAUAAAUAAUGCAGAGCAUCUUGUCCAGUGUUCUAACAAUUCUGUUUACCUUUCAACCUGGAUGGGCACUUUAUUUUAUCAACUUUGAAAGGAUGAAAAGAAAAAUUGACUGCAGUUGGAUUUGAACUUGGAACACAGAAAGACCAAAACAGAUACCAUGAAGUAUUUUGUUCUCUACUGUAACGACUCUGCCAAUUCACUGUUAUUUCUGGCAAACAGCUUCCUUACAGCCAUUAAUUACUUGAUACAGCAGGUGUGUUUUAUGCUCGAGUGUUUCUCGAAUAUCACAAUAUGCUCAAUGCAAUUCCUGAAAGUAUGGUUUUUAAACUCCCCAUUUGUUAUUAUUCUCAGGAUGUUAGCCUUGCUCAGCUGCUGUGCAGCAAACAUUUUGAUCUAGCUUCAGAAUAAAUUGCUGAAAAUUUUUAUUUGACUUCACAACUCUGAGUUACGUAAAUCAGGAAAUGUGAAAUAAAACUGUAAGACCUGCAAACUGAAGUGGUCGACCCUAACACCACAUUCCUAUGAGAAAUAUUUCUGGUGCAGGGUGGAAGAAAUACCUUAAGCGUACUUAGUAUUUUAUUAUAGAAUCCAGAGACAACCAACAACAACAGUAAUAAUAAAGCUUUAAAAAACAAAGACAAAAAUAAAAACAUGCUCUAGUAUUACAAAACAUUUUCUGAAGACAUUCCAGUAGUGAAAAAAUAAAAUUAAAAUAUACUUAUGGAACAAAAAAAUUUUUUUAAAUAAGAAGAACAUUAAAAAUUAUAAAAAAAAAAAACACAAACCAACUACAAAUAAACAUUGUGAUUAGAAAAAUUUAUUUAUAAAACACAUUCUUUGAAAAUGUCUAUAAAGGCGGAAAUUAGAGUAAGUGUAUGCUUAAGGCAAAAGAUGAAUUUAGGUAGCAGGGUUGAAGAUGUGUGUGAGGGAGAGGCUAAUGGUGUUGGGGGUAUGGUACAGGGGGUGGGGCAGUGGUGCUGGUUUAUGUGUUGGGAGAGUGGUGAAAUGUCUAGUUUACACAAUUGAAAUAAUGCCAAGUCCUAUUUUAACAAUAUAUUUUUCCAAUUUGCCAAGUGGGUAGUGUUGGAGAAGAACAUGAAAAAAUAAAAACAAAAACAGUAUCUUGUAGAGGUCUGCUCUAUCAACUCAUUCGCAUAAGGUUGAUAAUUAAAAUUUCACUAUCUUCCAACUUGAUGAGACUUUUGUUUCUUUCUUAUUUUAUUUUAUUUUGUUAUUUUUUGGUAAUUUUUGUCUUUUUCUUCUUGGCUAUAAUAAACUUUGAGGCAAGACAUUUGAUCAUGAGCAAGCUGGAUUGGUCAAUAACUAGCAUUCUUUGCAUUCUCACUCCUCAUUUCUGAUCUCUUCCUCCAACCCCUUCUCUCUGCAUAUGAACAGACAAUUGCAGAAUAAGUAGAGUUGAACAAAAUAUCUUGUGAUACUCCCUAUGAUUAUCCAUAUCUUCUCUGUUAUUUGUGGUGCAGUUGAUUAGGUGCAGGCCAUGUUUGCAGCCCCUAGUUAAUCUUAAUACUUCAGACCUAAAAUCAAAAGCAUUCCAACCAUGGCCAUCCCAAUAUUUUUUUUCAAGGGUUUUAGAAUGCAUCAUGUCUCUAACUAGUUUCAGUUCAAGAACUGUGGCCAUGCUGGGGCACCACCAUUAUCUGUGUACUUCUUUUUAAGAUGGUAGGGUUUGACUUGAAGGAGAUUUAGCUGCUGUUUCUAAAAGGUCAAGCUACCAAAAAGAACAUAUUUCAGUUCAUACUUGAAAAUAGAUUUAUGAUACUGAUUGACUGAUUGGUCUGGUUGUUCAAAUUAUAUCUACUGAGCUAAUCAAAUACUUAGAAUUAACCACUGACCCAGCAUUAUGUGUGUGUGCGUGUGUGUGUGUGUGUGUAAAUGUUUGUUUUCAUGUUGAGUUAUAAUAAAAACAAUUUUACAUUAAUCUGAUAGGUUACUCUAUGCUUUUGUGGAGUACAAAUUUAUUAUUUCUAAACAAAAAUAUUGUUGAAGUUUUGGCCAGUGAUGGCUUAGCUGGCCAAAACUUCAAAGUCAUUGUCAACAACAUUUUUGUAUAUAUUGUGCGCAUGCACACACACACACACACACACACACACACACACACACACACACACACACACACACACACACACUGCUUCCAGCUGUUCAGUAUUUACAUUGUACAUAUUAUUGUGCAGUUGUUGCUUAGUCCUUGGUCAGCCCUUUUGAAACUGAUCAUCUGAUCUUUAUUAGACAUGGUCUCUAAUAUUCUAUUCAAAUUGAUGGAGGUGGGGUGUAAUGCAGUUGUAUAGAGACUCCUUCAGUUUGUUACGCAGUUGAUUAAGUAGGUAUGUUGUGUUAUAUGGAGUCAGUUACAGUGUAGCAGUGUUGUGUGGUUUGUAGAUGCAGUGCUAUUAUAUAGGAAUGUUGUGUGAUGUAUACAUGCAGCCUGGUUAUAUAGGAAUAUUAUGUGAUCUAUAGGUCAGAGUGUGGUUAUGUAGGAAUGUUGUGUAGUCUAUAGAUAGUGGAGUUAUGUAAGAAUGUUGUGUACUAGUGUGUGUAUGCUGCAGAAUGUUAGUUAAUUUUUUUUAAAUAUUAAGAUGUUUUUGUGUUAUGUUAUGGUAUGUGCAGCCACUGCUCAUUUGUUCACAUAUUCUUCUGUACAUAUACUGAAGGCAUGCACACACACACACACACACACACACACACACACACACAUGUUUAUGUGCAUGUUUGUGUAUUUGUGUGUGUGUAUACAGAGAAAGAGAGUGAGGUAUAUGUGUCUGUGCAGACAGAAAUAUAUACACACAAACGUGUACUUAUACACAUGCAAAAUAUACCUACAUACAGUCUUAUAUAUUUGAAGAUUUGUAUAUAUAUAUUACUCAGCAUAUCUAGGUAUUUCUCUCUCUGUCUCUGUGACUGUCUGUCUGUCUGUCUAUCUGUCUCUCUCUUAUGAACACACACCCCUCUAAAUAUUUUCAUUUGUAUAUAGAUAGGAGCACAUCAUUUCAUUACCAUAUAAAUGUCAGGUUACAUCUGACAUAUUGUUUUGAGGUUUUUACCUGUUUGCAAAGUCAGUUUAGUGUAGGUAAGAAUGUACACAUUUAUGUAUUACACUGCGUCUCUCUUUCACAUAUUCCCUGCCUGUCUACCUCUGUCUAUGUGUCUGUCUGUCCCUCUCUGGUUGUCUUUCCCACUCUCUUUCUCUUUCUAUAUAUCAUUCUCUCUUUGUCUGCUUCUCCUUUCAUAUUUGAGAAAAUUGAUGAGUAUACUAUAUAUUCUCCAAAAAUGAAAAUUCUUUCAUUCUUCGCUUAAUUAAAUUUAUUGUUACAGACGCUCUUUCUCUCUCUCUCACACACACACAGAUAUCCAAAAUUUAUGCAUCAGCUUUUUGUAACUGGAACAGCUAUAUGUUGAUAUGUUUGUGCAUUUAUUUAUUUUCUUUUCUUUUCAUUGUUCAGCCAAGAACUGCAAGUAACCUUGAUAGUUUGGAGUUUGACUAAGAUAAGGAAUGUAGUAUUAACUUUCUGUGACAAACUUGAUAUAUUUUAGUAAAUGGUUUUAGCCGUUGUAAGAUAUCUUUGUAAAACGUUUUGUAUCUGUAUAUAAAGGGUAUAGGCAUGGCCGUGUGGUGAGAAGUUUGCUUCUCAACCACAUGGUUCCACGGUCAAUCACACUACAUAGCACCAUGGGCAAAUGCCUUCUACUAUAGCCUUGGUCUGACCAAAACUUUAUGAGUGGAUUUGGUAGACACAAACUGAGAUUAUAUAUAUUGGUUCCACUUGGGCCAAGCAAUACUAAUAAACUGGUGCUAGAGCUCAAUUUACAUAUGUCUUACAGUAAAGCAUUAGCUGGGUACAGAGCAUUACAUGAAAUUAAACUAAUGACAAAGGAACAAAAUUAUGCAAUGAAUUUCAUCAUCUUACAGCUGUUUCUACUACAGGGUGCAGUGUAAAUAUUAGGUAUAGUUACAUUCUCAUUAUGAUCUGAAGUCUAUUUUAUUGCACUGGAGUGUUUUCAAUGAAGUUUUUAAAAAUUUCAUAGCUGGAGUGGCUGUGUGGUAAGUAACUUGCUUACCAACCACAUGGUUCCGGGUUCAGUCCCACUGCAUGGCACUUUGGGCAAGUGUCUUCUACUAUAGCCUCGGGUCGACCAAAGCCUUGUGAGUGGAUUUGGUAGACGGAAACUGAAAGAAGCCCGUUGUAUAUAUAUAUAUAUAUAUAUAUAUGUGAGUUUGUAUGUUUGUGUAUCUGUGUUUGUCUCCCCAACAUUGCUUGACAACCGAUGCUGGUGUGUUUAGGUCCCUGUAACUUAGUGGUUCAGCAAAAGAGACCGAUAGAAUAAGUACUAGGCUUACAAAGAAUAAGUCCUGGGAUCGAUUUGAUUCGAUUAAAGGCAGUGCUCCGGCAUGGCCGCAGUCAAAUGACUGAAACAAGUGAAAGAAUUAAAAUAUUUUUAAUAUUCCUUUUUUCUGAUGUAAAAUGGAAUAACAGAUGUUGACAUAAAAAGACUUUCCUGAAGGCAUAACCUUUAUCAUUUUAUACAAUCUUUGUUAUAUGUGUGUAUAUAUACACGCGCACAUAUAUAUAUACUUUUAUUAAAGCUGCUAAAUCAUCACAAAAACUGUUCCUCAGAGUUUCACAUUCCCAUUCAUUGGACAGUUGUGAUGAAAACUUGCGGCUUUAAUAAAACCAUACUACUCUGCCUUUGGUAUUCAAAUACUAUUUGUUCUAACUUGUUUUGCACUUAUGUGCUCACCUGUGUGUGUGUGUAUGGGAAAGUGAGGCUUAUCCCUUGGUUCUGUUCUCAUAAUUGUUUCACUAAUCCAAUAACAACGAUGCAAAGUAUGUAGCCCUUAAAACAGUUUUUGUGCUUUUACAUAGAAUACUGAACUGUCUUACACAGGGUUUUGUUUUUAGGAAUUCCCAAUAAGUUAUGAAUACCCAAAUUGUGAAGUCAGUUAUAUAAUAAUAUGAAAUUACUUACCCGAUAGUAAGAAUUCAAAUAAAGUAGGCUUUAUUGUAAGAUCCUGUGUAAGACAGUUCAGUAUUCUUAUUUUGGUUAGUGACUUUCCUAUUGUUUAGGAAAAUACUAUUUACUUGUUUAAGGCUUGUACUGCGUAAAUUGCAAAAAUAACUAACAGUUCAAAUACUAAGAAAUAAGCAUACUGAAUUUCAUUUUUACCAAAUAAUUUAGGAAAAUGAAUAGUUUAUUUCCCUUGGCUAUGUAUAAGGAUUCCUUCCAGGGGCGAACGGGUUAUUUCCCUGGGUUCUUAAAAUAAAAUAUAUUAGAUAUAUAUAAGGAUCUCUUCCAGGGGCCCUAUUAUCGAUUUUUUUCAACAAUCUGAGUUUGCUAUGAGGUUUCCAGAGAUGAGUUCUACUCACUGGUCAAGUUUCAUCAAAAUUGAUAAAACGAUGUAGGAGGAGUUAGUUAACAACUUCACAAACACACCCAUAGACAGAAUUCCCCACAUUUGUAGUAGAUAUAUAUGUUCUAUGGAAGAUAUUUGUCCUCAGCCAUCUGGACUUUUUCUCUCAACCAUAAUCACUCCUUUGUCAAUUUAAUAGUGGAACUUGAGGUAGUUCAGCUGUGCUACAACAAGAAGAUUGCAUUAGUCAAAGAGUGAGCUACUGGAGAAACUAAAAGAAUUUUGACUCCUUGGCGUGAAAACAAGCGAGUUAUGUAGUGGUUAUACAUAAGGAAGAUCCUAGAGGAACUGGCAUCAAACUUUGGGAUCUAGAGUUAUUCCAACCCCAUAACAGGAUAUCACUACAUUAUUCCAAAGAUCUCAGCCAGUUUGUCUAGAGUAAGAACUAGGUACUGCAAUAGCUUGGGGUUUAAAGGCCCACAGCUAUUUAAUAUCAUGCCAAAAUACCUGAGAGAACUACAUGGAGUGAAGGAUAGAUGUUUUCAAGAAGCACCUUGAUCUUUUGUUCUCCAAGAUUCCAAAUGAACAUACAUCACAGCAAGAAACUUAAACAAGAGCAGCACUAUCAAACUCACCCUAUCACCAAAAGCCAAUCACAUAAAAAUGGCUAUUGAAAAGAUUCUGACAGCACUGUCGCACCAUGGACGCAGCCUUUGGGCUGAAAUGCAUUGAGGAAUAUAUGUGUGUGUGUUUGUGUGUGUGGUUAUAACUUUCCACAUAUUGGCCAUGUUAAGGUAAUUUUGGUGUGCAUGUAGGUUACACUGUUGUUUCUUUAAUAAAAUCAAAAUAAUUUAGUCAGUGGUAGAAAUCAGAGCCCAUUGCCAUAUCAGGUCUGCCUGGACUUGUGAGAUUGAUGUGGUUAAUAUUUGGUUAUAACAUCAACAGAUAAACAUCUGCAAAAUGCAAAUUAAUGAUCUGCUCUGAACAGUUGAAGCAGAUUAAACUUUCUUAAAGGCACCCAGUGACCAAGUAUUAAACUAAAUGUUUAAAAGCAUUCCAACCAUGACUAUAAUCAUUCAAUUCGUAUUUAUAUAAUAUGUUAUUCCAUUUUUAGAUGGUAGAAUAUAAUUUAAAGAAUAUUUGACUGCAAUUUGUAGCAGCCCAAAUGGUCACACAGAGGCUUGUGUUUAAAUUGGCAUUUAUUAAUUAAGAUUCCUUAAACAAUCUAUCUCAAUCCUUAGCAUAUCUCACAAUUUUAUUCUAUUUCUCUUUUACAGUCAGCCGCUUAUUCUGUGAAUCUGAAUCUUUCAAGAUGUAUCUUAUCUUGGAUGUCAAUACACAGACGUAUCCAGUGGAACUUGGUAAGUCACACUUCAUUUGAUACUUUAAUUGGUUUGUUUUGUCUCUACAAUUCACUGUCUAUCUUUUAUGUCACUCUCUCUCUCUCUCUCUCUCUCUCUCUCUCUCUCUCACACACACACACAUAUUUUCUCUCCCAUGUACAUUUAAC
RNAcentral lists this long non-coding RNA (59869 nucleotides) under Octopus vulgaris (common octopus). Lineage: Eukaryota; Metazoa; Mollusca; Cephalopoda; Octopoda; Octopodidae. The record is from RNAcentral.